ACUGCGCGCUGGGCCCGCGCUCCUCGCCGCCGCCGCCCCGCGCCGCGCCCGCCCUGUCCCGCCCAGUCCGCCAUGGCGGGACUUGUGGUCAGUGGAACGCAAGUGUCCUACGUAGGCCAGGACUGCAGAGAGAUCCCAGAGCACCUCGGCAGAGACUGUGGACAUUUCGCGAAGAGGCUCGAUCUGAGCUUUAACCUCCUGAGAAGCCUGGCGGUUUCUUCUGUGGAAAGGGUAAGCCAGAGGAUCUCUUUACUUGGAAACCCCAAGCACUGUUCAAGGUGGAUAUCCAGUUUUGCCAGCACUAUUCGUUAAAAAGACUGUGUUUUCCUCAUUUGACGGACUUUGGGUCCUUGUCGAAGAUCAGCUGACUGGAAGAGAUCCAUAUUUAUGCAUAUUCCGAAGAAAGGUGAUCCAGCCAAAUGUGUAAAUUAUAGGACAGUAUCAUUAAUAUCACACACAAGCAAAAUUUUGCUGAAGAUCAUUCAAAAAUGGCUGAAGCAGUAUAUCGACAGGGAACUGCCAGAAAUUAGGCUGGUUUUAGAAGAGGACGUGGAACCAGGAAUAUCAUUGCUGAUGUCAGAUGGAUCCUGACUGAAAGCAGAGAAUACCAGAGGGAUGUUUAUCUGUGUUUUAUUGACUAUGCAAAGGCAUUGGAUUGUAUGGAUCAUAACAAAUUAUGGGUAACAUUGUGAAGAACGGGAGUUCUAGAACACUUAAUUGUGCUUAUGAGGAACCUUUACAUAGAUCAAGAGGCAGUUGUUCAGACAGAACAAGGGGAUACUGAUUGGUUGAAGGUCAGGAAAGGUGUGCAUCAGGGUUGUAUUCUUUCACCAUACCUAUUCAAUCUGUAUGCUGAGCAAAUAAUCCGAGAAGCUGGACUGUAUGAAGAAGAACAGGGCAUCAGAAUUGGAGGAAGACUCAUUAACAACCUGCGUUAUGCAGAUGACACAACCUUGCUUGCUGAAAGUGAAAAUGACUUGAAGCGCUUAUUAAUGAAGAUUAAAGACCACAGCCUUCAGUAUGGAUUGCACCUCAACAUAAAGAAAGCAAAAAUCCUCACAACUGGACCAACGAGCAAAAUCGUGAUAAAUGGAGAAAAGAUUGAAGUUGUCAAGGAUUUCAUUUUACUUGGAUCCACAAUCAACAGCCAUGGAAGCAGCAGUCAAGAAACCAAAAGAUGCGUUGCGUUGGCUAAAUCUGCUGCAAAUGACCUCUUUAAAGUGUUGAAGAGCAAAGAUGUCACCCUGAAGAUAAAGGUGUGCCUGCCCCCAGCCAUAGUAUUUUCAUUCGCAUCAUAUGUGUGUCAAAGCUGGACAAUGACUAAGGAAGACCGAAGAAGAGCUGAUGCUUUUGAAUUGUGGUGUUGGCGAAGAGUAUUGACUAUACCAUGGACUGCCAAAAGAACGAACAAAUCUGUCUUAGAAGAAGUACAACCAGAAUGUUCCUUAGAAGCAAGGAUGGCGAGACUGUGUCUUACAUACUUUGGACAUGUUUUCAGUAGGGAUGAGUCCCUGGAGAAGGACAUCAGGCUUGGCAAAGUACAGGGUCAGCGGAAAAGAGGAAGAUCCUCAACGAGGUGAAUUGACACAGUGGCUGCAACGAUGGGCUCAAGCAUAACAAUGAUUUUAAGAGUGGCACAGGACGGGGCAGUGUUUCGUUCUGUUGUGCGUAGGGUGGCUAUGAGUUGGAACCGACUCUACAGCACACAAGAACAACAACAUUCUACCCCUGGUAAUUCCAGGAUAUUCUCUUCCUCUGGAAGAUUUCUUGAUUCUUUGUUUUGGGAGCUUGCUGAAGCCAACAUGAUCUGCCUCUUUAUGUAAUUUGAUAUUGACUGUUUUCUUGGAGCUAUCAAUAAGUUAUUGUGUUUAUUUUAUAUUUGCUUACUGUGUCCUAGCUACAUGUUUUGUUUUGAUAUGCGUGAGCUUGUUUGAUUAUUGGUGCCUUUGAAACUCUAACGUCCUUUCACCAGGUGGUUAGGUUCGUUAUUGCGUAUAUGAGCCCAGGAGUCCAUUUACUUUUCUUGUAUGGAUUUAGCCCAGGUGUCCAGGUAGUCAGUCACCAAGUGUGUGGUGCAGGCUCUCACCUACAGUCCUAGAUGUGCAGGGUGAUUGGUGUAGGCACAGGUGUCUGGCUGUAGUAGGGGUCAUGCACUGAGCAAGGUAGGGGACUGACAGCUACCCCUAAGUAUCUGGGAGGAAUGCAUGUCGCUGUUUCCUAGAGCAUGUAGGUGAGUGGGUUUUGCAGCUGAGGUAUGGGCACCCAAUGCUGUUGGCUGCAAGGACUGGGAGGCACUGCUUAUUCUUGGAUCCCUUUCGUGGGUGGCUAGGUGGUGUGGGUGAAACCACCAGUCCUCAGGCCCCUGAUGUGGGUAGGUGAGGACCCUGCUUAAUAGGCAGAGUGGUGUCAAAUGUCAUGAACUUGCCACAGCUGUUGAAGUGGGCCCACACAGGUCUCUGCAGGGGUGAAAUGCAUUCACAAUCCGUGGACCGUUUAUGCCUGUGCAUAAGCAAAGAAGCUCUACCUGCCUAGAGUUUUAGGAGAACAGAUAGAUUAUUUUUUUCCUGCUUGUUAAUUUGCCCCCUCUCCAAGGCUGGGAGAGUGACUCAGGGUACAUAGUGGGUCCUACUUCCAGCUCAGGGGAUGUGGCAGUCUCUGAAGCCAGCUCAGACUCAGUGCAGAGUGGGAAGGGGGCAGGUAAAUAGGAGAGAGGUUUUUCCCAAAGGGGUGCUUUUUGAUCCUUGCGGUAGGUUAGAAGCAUGUAGUUAUCUUUUGCUGAUUGAGUGCCGUCUUCCACUGAUUCUGGAGGCGUAAGUGGGCUCUCCAGAACUCGGUCUCUCUCAACGUAGAAAAUGCACCCUGAAGGCCACUGCUAGUCUUACCGCACUCGUGCCAGUGGUGGCCUGUGGUGUGCCCGUUCCCACCGGGUCAGGUCUGGCAGCUCCUCACUGCUUCUGAACUGUCUCUUCUUACCCCUGCCACUCAGACUGAUUCCUCAACUUUGCCUUUGUUGUUCAGGGCUCCUAGAUUGUUGUAUAUAAUUGGUUCACUUGUUUUCUUGGAUCUUUUUUGUAAGAGGGACUACAGGAAUCAUCUGACUACUCCACCAUCUUGGCCCUGCCUCCGAAAUAGUAUUUCUAUGCUUAGAAUUUACAAAAAAAAUCAGAAGUUCUGUUUUUCUCAAGCCUAAACCUUUUCCCCCUCGGCAACCACCUUCAAUUUUUUAAGCUGUUUCCUGCUAUUUAUCUUCAUACUUAAAUAUUAAAGUAAGAGUCUUUUACUGUCAUUUAGUAAUUAAAAAAAAAUUAGACAUCUGUCAGUUGUUUUUUCUUAUAUUUCCUUUACACAGCUAAGCUCAUUAUUUGUUCUUUUGCCUAAUAGUUACUCUUAGAGUUCAAUUAUAGAAAUUCUAUUUAUUCAGCAAACAUUUAGGGCUAUGGCCUGUGCUUCUCAUUGCUUUACACCUUGGGGAGACAACAUGAAAUGCCAACACUCAUCUAGCUCAAGGUGACUGUCAUUUUUUUGAUGAUGAUUAGCAUUCUUUUAAGUCAGUAUUUUUGAACCUGGGAGUUGCAACUCAUUAACGAGUUACAAAAUCAAUUUAGUGGGUUGUAACCAACAUUAUAAAAAACAGAAGAAAAUAUCAGCAUUCAAUAAAAAAUGGUUGAUAUAAUUCCUAUCAUCUUAUAUUAAAUACAGCAACAAAAAUUUAAUUAGGAUACGUAAUUAGGAUAAAUAUUGAUUUAUGCAAUCUGUGUGUCAGAUACAUAUGUGUGUAUAUACAUAUAGAUACAUAUAUGUAUGUUUUUUGUGUAUUGGGUUCCAAUACAAAAUAAUAAGGUUGAACAUAUGAAAUUGUUGUUUCUGUAGAUCCAAAAUAGUAAAAUACUAGCAAUUUCAUGUGGUUUAACUUACUGUGUCUUAUUGUGGAUUAUGGACAGUAUUGGUUUAAAUAAUCUCAUUUGGUUUGCAUUGAAAUAAUAAAUAUUCUGUUUUCUUAGCUAAGUUUUAGUUUCUUCACCUGUGAAAAAAGAAUAAUUGUACCUAGCUGAAAGAGUGUUUGUGAGGAUUAAAUGGUAAUUACUUAGCAUGACCUGUUGCCAAUAGUAAGCACCGAAUAAAUGUUAGCUGCCAUUAACAUUGUCAUCAUUCUAGCCAGUGUACCACAUUUGCAGCCACCACCCAUCUCUCAGUGUCUGUGUGUUGCUAUGAUGCAAAACAAGUUUCACUGGAGCUUCCAGACUAAGAUGGACUAGGAAGAAAAUCCUGGCGAUCUACUUCCGAAAAAUCAGCCAGUGAAAACACUGGAUCACUGUGGUUCAGUUCACAACCUGUCAUGGGGCUGGUGCAGGACCAGGAGGUGUUUUGUUCCAUUGUGCAUGGGGUCACCAUGAGUUGAGGGCCAACUCAAAGGCAACAACAACAAGCUAUUUGUAUCAUCAUCAUCAUCAUUACUGCCCCUCCCCAGUUCUUGCCCCUUGCUUCUUCCAUCUAGUGGAUCACACAUGGAGAGUUGAUUCUUUCAGUCACAGAGUGGUAGCACAUUAGCAAGAUCUGCCUCCGGCGGCAUCCAGGAUGGUUUUAGAUGGUAUACAAAGUGUGGGCCAGCCUGGGCUCACACAGUGAGAAUGUUGUCCUCUUCACAACUCUCAUUUGGAUUGCCUCUGGAAAAAAGCACGCGCUUGAUGAUGAUGUGUCUUUAACACCCUUCUAUUCAUCCUUUCUGCAGAUAUUUACUGAACACCUUCUAUGUGCCUGGCCCUGGUUGGACUUGUUGAAAGAGAUGAAGAUAACUGCAGUGAACAAGGCCAAUGGGACCUAGCUGUUGGGGAGCUUAUAUUCUAGUGUGGGGAGACAGAUGAUAAAUCAACAGAUUAAAAAAUAUGACAGUUUUCUAUGGUCGUCAGUGUUAUGAAGGCAAUAAAAUAGGGUGGUGGAAUAGAGAGUGACUUGGAGAAAGAGAUUUAUUAAGGUGGCCAGGAAAAACCUUUUCAGAAAGGUGAUAUUUGAGCAGAGAGCUGACUGGUGAGAAAGGGACAACUGUAAAAAGCUCAGAGGAUUCAUGUCCAAGGCAGAAGUAGCAGCAUGUGCAAAGAACCCAGGUGACUUUCAGGAAAAGAAAGACAGACAGUGUGGCCAGUGAGGUGUGUGCGGAGCAGAAUGCUGACAGAGGAGAGGAAGGUUGUACCCGUAUCAUGAAGAUGGUUGGGCUUAAUAAGGAGUUUGGAUUUUGUUCUAAAGUAUGAUGGGAGACCAAUGAAGCCAUUGAUGGGCUUUAAGUAGUGAGAUGAUAGAAUCUGAUUUGUGUUUUUCAGAACUACACUGGCUGAUGGUUGGAAUUUAGGCAGGCAAGAACAGAAGCUGGGGGUCCAGUUAGAAGGUGAUUGUGGUAGUCCCUGAGACAGAAGGUGGUGACGCGAACCAGGGAGCAGGCAGUAGACGUAAAGGAGUGGAAAAAUUCAGGCUGUAGUUUUAAGAUAGUGUCAGUGUGUGUUGAUGGAUGGGGUGUGGAAAUGAAGAGAGGAAUCAAAAAUGAGUCCUAGAAUGGUGAUGAUAUUUUAUGACUGUGGAGAAGACAGGCUUUCCUUUCCCUGAUGACAUUUUCAUGCUGCCAUUUUGCAUGGAUUUAUCCCUCUGCUUAUGCCCCUCCCGGGGAAGGAAAAUCCUCCUAGGGCUAUGGUUGACUCAAAGCUCUCAAGUUCUUCCUUUAUCUGACCUGAAUUCUUCAUGCUGCAUUUCAGGUCCGGGUUAUGCCCUCUGAGGAGAUGGAAAACAGCUGGUUAUAUGGGGGUCCUUGUGGGCAGGGCAGAUGGCGCUGUUAAUUCAUCCCUCUGUUAUGAGAAUUGAUGGCCUAUAGCCAGGACGCCAUGUUGAUAUUUAUGACUGGUUUCUAUGAAGAGUUCAUGCUCUCAAAAAAUGUAUUGUAUUCUGUUUUCAAAAGGAAAGUUGAAGACGGCCUGAGCAGUGGAUAUUUUUUUCCUUUUCAUUUUCCCAACAUAUAAUACAAGUUGCAUUACAAUAAAUUCAGUCAGUUCAAAUGUUUUUCAUCUGAAAAAUUGAAUACAUUAUUUUUUUCACCUAACUGCAAGGGGUGAACUUUUUAUAUUUUUAUGGGCUUUGUUGUUUUUACUUGUCACAGUUGCUGGUAUUAGUUCACUAGUAAGUAAUGACUUUUCUGUAUUGAGAAAGACAGAUGACUUAUUAGAUGUCAGAGGCCAUCUGAAACAUUUUCAACUCAGCAUUUUUAAUAGCUGUUUUUUUGUUUUGUUUUCCUUCUUUUUCUAUUUCCCUCAUCCACUGUGCUUGUGUUCUAGUUCUCUCUGUUUCUUUCUUUCUGUCUGUCUCCCUAUCCCCCCCACCCUUUUUCUAGCUCUCUCUUUUCCUGUCCGUGUCUUUGUUGGCCACCUCUUUUGUGUAUCUUCUGCAUGUUCAUACUACAUCUUCGCAUCCAUCCAGACUCCUUGGGAGCUGUUGACUGAUGCUGGGUAACUUUUUGUACAGUUGAGCUCUAUGGGUUUCCUACAGUAAACGUUCAUAAGUAUCUAUAGGUAUGAAUCUGUCCUUUAAAAAAAAUACACACACACACACAAGCGCAUUGUGUUCAAGGCAAGCAUCUGUUUUUGACCUCAUGGACACUUUGUGCUUAUCCUCUGUCUGCUGUUCACUCUGGGGUUCUUUGGAUGCCAUAAAAAAACUACCGCUCCCUCCCUUAUCUAUUAUUAACAGAUGCUGGACUCCAUGAGCAUCAUUUGAGUGUGCUCACGGUCUCUGAAAAGAUGUCUAUUAAUGGAAUUCACACCAUUGAAACAGAAGUGUAAUGUGGGUAUGGCCAGCUUACAUAGUAAAAGUGGGCUUUAGUUGGGGAAGUAUCAUAUCACCAUGUCAUUGUGUUUGGCACACAGCAGGUGUUCAGUAAAUAUGUGUUAGAGAAAUGAAUGUCUACUUGCAUGUUUAUUGGGAAUUGCAGCAUAGGAUUGCCCAAUGGUAGAGUUGGGGGUGGUUUGAACGGUGAACAAGACUGGCAUUAUGUUAAUGAGUGCAUGUAUUCCAAGGAGGAAAGAGACAAAGAUAAAAACCAGAAAAAUGUCAGUAGUGAUGAGUGCUACAUGGAGAAUUAAAGCAGGGUGAUGUGCUAUGGCAUGGCUGGGUGGUCAGGGAAAGCUGUCUGAGAAGAUGGGGUCUAAGCUGAGAUCUGAGUGACAACUGGGAGCCUAUCAAAGGAAGACCAGGGAGAGGGAAGAGUCAGGUAGAGGAAACAGAGGAUACAAAGGCUCCGGGAGGUGCAGCUUGGAGUGUUUGUGGUGCAGCUGCAGAAGCCAGCAAGGCUCUGCUGUGGGCAGCAGGCAGCCAUGGUAGGCAGCAGGGUCAGACCAGGUGGGACCUUAUGCUAUAGGCUCAGUUCAUACUUCUGAGCUUGAUUUGUAGUGGGAUGCCUUCAGAGGGUUUUAAGUGGGGGAAUGGCUUACAUUUUUAACAUAUCCUGCUGGCUGGUGUGUGGAGAAUGGAUUGUAGGGAGGCAAGAGGUGAAACUGCAGUGGUAUGUACUGGAUGUCUACCAUCUGUUAGAAUUUUUCAUUAACUUUUACCAGAGCUUCGGAUGGGGAGUAUAGAAUGCUUUCUUUUACUGAUCCUUGUGCUGGGGCAAAGAUUUCUGGCUGCUUCCCUUAUCUAUUAUCUCGUUAUUUUAUUGAUAAUUUUUUUAUUUUUAGCUGUGCAUAUUACCACCCCCUCCUUUCAUGUAGCUAGGUGCUAGGUGUGGCAUGUGGCUAAGUGGAAGUAUUGUGUGGAACUUCCAGAAAGUCUUCUUAAAAGGGAGAGAACAUUUCUUUCUUUUGACCUUCCUCCCAUUCUGCUGCCUGGAGCUGGAUGUGAUGGAUGGAACUCGAGUAUCCACGUUGGACCAUGAGGAGCAGGACCACAUGCUGCAGUUAGCAGAGCAUAGAGUUAGAAGGAGCUUGGGUCCUUAUGACUUCUUGGAGCCACCAUACUAGCCUUGGAAAAUCUGUCCUUUGGACUUCUUCUGUUGUACCAGAGACGUAAACUAUUGUUUAGGCUAUCGAUAUUUUAGUGUUUUUUUUUUUUUUUAACCCCUUUGUAGCUGGACAAAAUCCUAACUGAUACAGGUGUUCAUCUGACAAGAGCAGGGACAGAAUACCCAAUAAGCAAGGUGCUUACUUGUGCUUACUUACUAAUUUGUAGUACACAAUUUCACCUGUUUUUCCAUCACAGAUUAGCAAGUAGAUAUAAUUAAGCCUGCUUACUGUCAGCUUGUGCUUACCUUACUUACUGGUUAGUUUGCCCCUGCACAAUAGUCUUCAAUUAACAAUAAUUGUGAGGAGAGUAUUACUGGAUGCUUUCUAUAUGCCCACCACUGUUCUAAGCCCUUUACAUAAAGAUUUUUCCUUAAUCUCCGUAACAGUUCUGUAGGAUAGAUAUUACUUCUGGGACUCUGAGGCACAGAAAUGUUCACUAACUUGCCCAAGGUCACACAGCUAGUAACUGGAGGACCUGGGCUCAGACUCCUGCUUGACUGACUCGAACAUUUUGUCUAUCACUUUUUUGGACUACCACAUUCCUGGCAAAGACUCUGAAAACAUUCCCUUAAUCAUUUAGGGAGUGAGGCCAAAGGGAUGAUUCAGGAAGCAGAUCUGUGUCACGUGGUAGUCAGGGAAGGCUAACUGCUAUAACCAAGUUUUUGGGGACUCAACACAGUAGAAGCUUACUUACUUCUUACUCAUGUAAAAUCCAGUUGAGAUUGGGAGUGAGAGGAAGCUCUUCUUCAUGCAGUGACUCAGGGGCCAAGACUCCUUGUACUCUCCCCCGCGACAUGCCUGGGGGCCUCAGAGUUCUCUGCUGGGUGCUUUUCAGCCAGUCAGCAUAUACAAGGGGAGAAAAGAUGUGGAGGAUUGUGUGGGAGGUUUGUUUGUUUUUUAAUUUUAUUGUGUUUUAGGGGGAUGUUUACAGUGCAAAUUAGUUUCUCAUUCAAAAAUGUAUACACAGAUUAUUUUGUGACUUGGUUGCAAUUCCACAUUGUGUCGGUACUCUCCCCCUUUCCACCCCGGGUUUCUUGUGUCCAUUCCUCUAGUUUUCCUGUCCCUUCCUGCCUUCUCAUCUUUGCUUUUGGGCAGGUGUUGCCCAUUUGGUCUCGUAUACUUGAUUGAACUAAGAAGCACUUUCCUUGCUUGUGUUAUUGUUUGUUCAAGAGGCUUGUCUAAUCUUUAGCUGAAAGGUAAACUUCAGGAGUGGCUUCAGUUCUGAGUUAGAAGGAUGUUUGGGGGCCACAGUUUCGGGGGUUACUCCAGUUUCUGUCAGACCAGUAAGUCUGGUCUUUGUGAAUUUGAAUUUUGUUCUACAUUUUUUCUCCCACUCUGUCCUGGGCCCUCUACUGUGACCGCUGCCGGAGUGGUGGUAGGCACUCUGUCAGUGGUGGUAGCCAGGUACCAUCUCGUUCUUCUGGGCCCAGGCGGAUGGAGGCUAUGGUUCACGUGGUCCAUUAGUCCUUUGGACUAAUAUUUUCCUACUGUGUUUGGUUUUUAUCAUUCUCCUUUGCCCUGGACAGGGUAGGACCAAUAGAUGUAUCUUAGAUGGCUGCUCUCAAGCUUUUAGACCCCAGACUGUGUGGAAGGUUUUGAUAGGCCAGGUUUAGAGAUGAUGUUAGACAUCACUUCCCGUAAUCCAUUGCUGGUCAGUCACAUGGUCAUGCCUUACUACAGGGCGGGGGCGGGGUGCAGUGCUGGGAAAUGUAGUCUAGCUGUGUGUGCCCAGGAGGUGCAGGAAACAGAUUUUGGGAAGCACGCUGUAAUCUCUUUCACGUGUGAUUGUUGGGAGUGGAGGUUCUGGUGACAGACCACCUGCGUUUAUUUCCCACCCUGGCUGCUUGUUAGCUGUAUGACCUUGGGCAACUCACUUGCCCUUUUUUACCUCAGUUUUUCCAUGUGUGCAGUUGGGGUAAUAAUAGAACUCUUUUGAGGGUUAAAUGAAUUCAUAUGUACAGUACUUGCACCAGUGCCUGAGACAUAGUAAGUGCUCAAUAAUUGUCAACUAUUUUUAUUGUUUAAAGCAGAGACAUUUACUCAGACCUAAACUUGAGGACCUGUCUUUUGAAGAGAACUUUCUCAUUGAGCCCUAGGGUGGCACGGUAACCAGAGAAGAGGUGCUUUGAAUCAUAUGUCAUCACUUAAGAGAAACAAUGGUGACAUGCCAAGAGUGCUUGCUGCUCCUGGAGCCCUCUGCUGUCAUGAGUGGGUCCUCCCAGCCUCUCUGGGGUGGGGAGCAAGACAGGGCUUCCUCCUGUUUGUGUAGUCAGAAGCCCAGUCUCAUGCUGCCUGUGAGGAAGAUAGCCCGUGAGCGUCCUUGCACCUGGAAUACUUUCUCAGACAAAGUCCUGUCUCUUCUUGAAGACUCAGCUCAGUUGUCAUCUGAUCCCUAAAGCUCUGGAUGGAGCCCUGGGUCAGUGUCACUUAGUCCCUUUAUUGUGUACCCUGGGCACUUUAUCACAGCCUGUUUCAUAUGGGUGGUGCAAAUAGUUAAUGUGCUCGGUUGCUAAAUGAAAGUUUGGCAGCUUGAUUCUACCCAGAGGCAUAUUGGAAGAAAGGCCUGGAAGUCUACUUCCAAAAAACCAGCCAUUGAAAAUCCUGUGGAACACAGUUUCACUCUGACACACAUGGGGUCACCAUCAGUUGGAGUCAACUUCAUGGCAACUGUUUUUUUUUGUUUUUUUUUUUUCUGUCUCACAUGGUAAUGAGUCAAAUGCCAGAUUGUUUUGACCAGAUAUAGGUUUAUUGAAGGCACGAGCUGUGUCGUUCUCAUCCUUGUCUGCCCCGCAGUGAGGAAGGUGCUGCAUAAAGUCUUGUUGAAUGUAAUCAUUGCUUUUAUUACCUACAUACAUGGAAAAUUUUGUGCCUGUUGUGUUUAUGCUGAAUCAGUGGUAGAUAAAUUGGUGGGUAGUUUGGAAUAAAAACAAGUGGGUUCUUUUUAAUUUACACUGUUUAAUAUUCGUGUGGGGAUUUUUGCCGUCUUUCAGCUCGGCGGUUGUAAAAUUCUGUUUUAAUUUCUGCCAUUAUCAUAAACAGCAUCAUCUGGUUAUUAUCUGGAUAGAAGAUGCUGCAUCCCAGGACUCUAUUGAACUAAGAUGAAAUAAAUUGUCAGGGUAGGACCUAUAACUAUUGUUGCUUUACCUUCACUCUUAGCUAAGAAGUCCACUUGGUGAUUUGAGCUGGUACAUUUACACUUGUGGGUUUAGAUUCCCAUAUAUACAUAUUUACCCAUUUUUGGUAACCCACAGAAAAACGCUUACCUUUCUCUGUGAGUAUUUGUAUAUACACACAUCUAUAAAAAUGAAAUUACCCACAAAAUCAUUGAAGAUAGAGCUUAGCAAAUUCUGUACGUGGAUACAAUCAAUGGUGCUGCGAGAUAUAGUUAAACAGGUGAUGGAGUUUAGUUAUUAAGCUCGCAUAGAUUGUUUGAUAUACUGAAUAUUUCGUGGAGUGCUAUUAUUUGUAUUCUCAAAUAUUUUAAGAAGAUAAGCUUCUAAAUUCACUUUGGGGCUCUGUGUCAUCAAAUUUCAUCCCCACUCACUUAGAGCCCUAAUUGACUUAUACUCUCUAGACCCAUUUCUUUGCUUCUGUUUCUCUCUGCUCCCUCUAAUGUGCUGUGAGUUACACUGGAAGGAACAAUAAGAUUUAAAGGAAGAAUUAAUUUAGAAAGUUAGGAAUAGAAGAGAUAAGGGAAAAUGAGAAAAAGCGGCUUAGUAUUUUGUCUUGUAAAUGGCUUUCUUCUCGUAGGCCAAGAAGCCCAUUUAUCCAAGGAGAGGAGGCGUGUAAAUGAAAUGGAUCAUGAAUGUAGCUAUUACAGUAAUGAAUUUUAACACUCACUUUGUUAUGUGAUAGUUUAUUUAUGAGUUCCUUGAUCAUUCAGAUAAAGACAAGAAGUUUAUGGCAGUAGAUUAUGUCUUGUUUUCAUAAACAUAUUCAGUAGUUUAAUAAACAUAAUUUAUUUUUUUCUCCUUAAAAAUCAGCAAAAUUUAUGAGAGAUUAUCUUAGGGUUAAUGAAGUCUAACAUUAAGGAAAUAUUACCCUGUAAUACUUGGGCCUUCAGCGCUAGACUUGUAAUUGCUUAAUGCUCUUUUCUACAGGCUGUUUUUAUAAAGUACAUGCUUUGUACCAUUAAUCCAGUUUUUAGAAGUUAGUCUUAGACCAAUUCAUUGGGAGUUAUGUAUCCAUGUUUAUAUUUUUCUGUCACUGUUUUCAUUAAAAGAUGUAGUAAAGAGUUGAAAAUUUAAUGUAGGAAAAGGGGGAAAAGACAAUUAUGUGUAUUUGCUCCUAGGAAGGUAUAAUGCAUGUAUUAUCACGGCUUCUGCCUUGGAAACCAAUUCCCUCUUGUGGUUGUCUUCACCACAGGUGAGAAUUUAGUGAUUUGUGGGUCCUGGGAGGACAGAAAUGUAAAUGCCUAUUGAAAGCCAUCAAUAGUUAAAAUUUGGAGCCCCAUUAAUAUAGUUCAAGUCAGAAUGCACUUAAGUAAUGAAAAGCCCAGUUGACAGGCAGGAGUUUCCCAUUCCCCAGUCAGGCCUGCCAAUUAGCUGGUGUAAUGGAUGCCGAACCCCCAAGAUGGGAUUGAAAGUGGCUGGAGAGGGCAGCUGGGGAAGCCCACUAUGGAUUUUAGUCAUGUGCAUUUGACUGUGUCAGCUCAUUCUUUUUUGAAAUUGAAUUUAAUGUGUUGAAAAAUACCCUCUUGAUGAAUUAAUGAACUAAAAGAGGUAUUGAUAUUUGAAUAGUGGUAGAAGCAAAGCUUCCCACCACCACCACCACACUCCUCUGCCCUGGUUUCCGUAUUUUAAAAGAGAAAGCUUGGCAAGGGCAAAGUUUAAAGGCAUUUUCUCGGAGGCUCUCCCUGCUUACUACUGAUGGGUUGGAUAUGGAAGGAGGAGGGUAGUGGAUAAAGACCUCAGAUCCAUCAGUGACAUAGCUAAUCUCUUACUGAUUUCAACCCUUUUGAUGUUUGCCUUUGGGCUAUUUUGAUGUUCUUUGGCAUUAAGAUGUACACGUGCUUGUGAUAGACAAAAAUCAGGGAACGUGAAAGUUGUGUAGACUUGAGUCGAACCGUGGGCUCAGUGGUGAGGAAGGAUAUCACACAUACAUGCUGUCCUGUCCCCACCCCAGAGAACUAGAAUUAGAUUUGAUUCAUACGUGCAUUAAAAAAAGAAAAAAAGAAAAAAGAUUGGUUGAGAGUUCACUGUGAAAUCUUACUGUUCUGGCUCUAGCAUCCAAGAAUUCACAAGGAUAAGCUUCUUGUCCACUUGGAACUCAUCAUCCGUUUAGAAACGUUCUAAGAACUUUUAAAAAUUGAAGGAGGAAGAUGUGAGAAAAAGGAGAAUGUAGCCUAAAAAAAUGAUAUAUAUUAAUUCCAUGAGCUUUUUUUUUUUUUAAUUUUUUAAUGCGUAACUUUUUAAAGAUCUCAAGGUUUUAUCUCCCAAACAAAGGGAGGCAGUAAGACACGGUAGCAACAUGGAAGCUUAGUGUGUUGGUACUGUUUUAUACUAGGACUGGUUUCAGACCAUGUCCUGUUUUCCCUGUAAAUGCAGGUGUUCGGUGCCCAGGCAGUUGAGCGGGGUGUUAACACAAGAAACGCGGGCCACAUUCACCUUGUAAAAAUAUAGUGGGCUUUGAAGAUGGAUUGCUUGGGUUUAAAUCUUGGCUUCACCACUUACUAACUCCAUUUCCUUGGACAAGGAACAUAACUUCUCUGAACCACAGUUUUCCUUAUCUGUGAAAUGGGGCCUAUAAGAGUUAUCUACUCUACAGAAUUCUUGGAGACAUUCACUGAUACAACUCAGACAAAAUUUCUUAGAAUACCUGACUCAUACUAAGCUUUCCAUGAAUGUUAUUUAUUAUUUUAUUGGCAACUAUAUAUGGUCACAGAGUCUCCAAGUGGUGUAAAUGGUUAAUGUGCCUGACUUCUGACUGACAGGUUGGAAGUUUGAGUCUACCCAGGGGUGCCUCAGAAGAAGGACCUGGUGAUCUACUUCUUAAAAAUCAGCCAUUGAAAAUCCUAUGAAGCACAGUUCUGCUAUAAAACACAGAGGGUGGCCAUGUAUUGAGGUUGACUCAACAGCAAGGUUUAUUGGAAACUCCUAUGUAAUCUGCUUACUCACUUCAUACCACUCUCUUUGUCAGUGGCGCACCAUUUUGUGGACAGAUAUUAGUGUGACCAGAAGGAAGGGAAGCUUCAUUUAUUCCUACCAGGAAAGAAAGUGACUCCCGGAAGGAAUCGAGACUUACUUUAAUCAGUCAGUGGGUGUGCAUACAUUAUCCCUUUCUCAUUUCUAUUUGCAAAUUUGGUCAGAAUGCUCAGGGAACAAGGUAUCUUGGAUAAUCCAAUUUUCUGACUAACUGAUGACAACACUUUCAUUUCAACUUUUAUUUUUGAAAAGUCUUUCUAAAAUCCACUAAAGUCCUUUGUUUCCUUAGGAAGUAUAGUGAAUAGUAAAAUUUAAUCUUUCUUUAACAGUGAAAGAUUUCAGAGCCAGUUCAGAAAAUCUCUUCAUGUUGGUCAGAAAUAUAAAGUAGGUAUAGAAGAUUGGACCACAUGUAUACUGAGCCCAGGACUGCUCUCAAAAGAGUUUUUAAUAACGUUCUUCAAGAAACUUUCCCUUAGUAGAGUAUGGGCAAGAAAUUAUGAUUGAUGGUUCUGGGUUUUUGGGUUUUAGCUUUAAAAAUAUAUAUACAUUACAGGAAAAUCUCUCUUACCUCAAGCCUUCAGUGGAGUCACACACAGUAGACGUGUCACCUUGAGAAGAAUAACUACUUUAUUGUCAGAAUCAAGGAUGGCAUUGUGGCAAUCAGUUUACUACUUGGGUAAACGAGAUACAGCCUAGCUUUUUUCCAGCUUAGAAAUCUUUCUUAUUUGUUUCCCCCUUACAGUGAGUGGUAUACAGUUUCAAGUCAGUGUAUUUGUUUUUUCUUGUUCUAAGCCAGAGCUUUUUGGUAGCCAGGUUGGGAGAUAGUGUGUUGUAUUAGAUCUAAAAAAAAAAAAGAAAACCAAAACCAAAUCUGUUGCUAUUGGAUCGAUUCUGACUCAUGGAGACCCUACGUGUGCAGAGUUGAACUGUACUCUAUAGGGUUUUCAAGGCUCUGAACUUCAGAAGCAUAUCACCAGGUCUUUUCUUCCGAGGAGUGUCUGGGUGGGUUGGAACUGCCAACCUUUUGAUUAGUAGUUGAGUGCUUAACGGUAUACACUACCCAGGGACACCUGUUAUAUUGGUUAGAAACAAACAAAAAAAAAACCUGUUGCCGUCAAGUUGAUUCCGACUCAUAGCGGCCCUACAGGACAGAGUAGAACUGCCCCAUAGAGUUUACAAGGAGUGCCUAGUGGAUUUGAACUGCCUACUUUUUGUUUAGCAGCCAUAGCUCUUAACCAUUACAACAGCAGGGUUUCCGUUGUAUUGUGUAGAGCCCUGGAAUUGGGAAACUUGGUUUUUAGAUCUGCCCCUACCUUGUUUGGCUGUAUGAUCUUGGAUUUGUGGCAGACUCUCUCGCAACCUCAACUGUCUCCCCUGAACAAUGCUGGGGUCCUAACAAGGCCGAUUAAGGCCUGUAAAGGCCCUAAACACUGAUAAUCUGUGGUGCCCCUCCUCUGCUUACUCGCGCUUUCAAAUGGGAUGUGAGUUAGAUAUGUACACAUGUGUGUACAUAUAUAUGUGUGUCUUGGAUAUCCAUGAUGUAACUUCUUUUUAAACGCAACUAUAUAUAUAUAUAUAUCAAUAUUAUUAUAUAUAGUGUUAGCAAUUGAAUGAAAAAGUGAUGUAUGCUACUUUAGCAGAAUGAGAUGAACUGGAUUAAAAAAUUUUUAGUGGGUGCUGGGUGCUAAGAUUUUUACUAUAUACCAUAUUUUCUAUAUAUUCUACAACAAAGAAAAUGAGUAAGUAAACUUUGUAGCUUUAACAGUCAGUGUAAAAUUCUGUUGAUCUCCCACAACAAAAAAUUAACUUUCACCCAUUUUGCUUUAAAUGGCUCAUAGUUCAAUUUUGAUGCUUGUUUUGUAAUAAAUGCUAUAAUUAUUAAUGAACAAAUGGAAAACUGUCAUAAGAGAAAAUGCUCAAAAAACAUUAUUGUGUUUUAUUUUUAGAUAGAUCUUUCAUCUCUAACAUGUUGUAAUUAAAAACAUUUCUUUGCAUUGUUUGCUCUUACAAACUUUUCAAUGAUUUCAUCACAAUUAAGCUGCCAAACACUAUGUACUUCCAUACAUAACAAGGAUAAUGAAUUGAGUCUUUCUUGAAUCCCUGUUGUGUGCUCACUUUUCCUUGUGUCCUAUCGGCUUGACAUCUAUGGGUCUUUGCUUUGGGAAACUGGUGCCCCUGCUUUGUUGAUGCCCCAAGCAUGUGCUUACCUUGCUUAUUGUGUUAUCCCUCCCUGAGUACUAAUCCGUGCUUUCUGAGGUCUCAUCUGUUUGAUCAUUUUUACUAAGAGCUUCUUGAAUGUAUCAGACUUGCUGUCUUUGUUUACUCCUUCGUUAUAAUUAGGAGGCUUCAGGAACUGUUAGUCAGCGAAUCUGGUUGCAUGGGAUCCCAGUUACGGGGGGUAACAGAUUCAUUUCAUGCUUACUUUAUCCUCCCUUCUUCAGUUUUCCCUCCUCCCUGUCUUAGCUUCUCACUUUCUCCUCUUUUUCUCCUGUCUGACUCCUCCUUCCUGCCCCAGGUUCCUCCCCAGCUCAUCUAGAUUAUUGAUCGGAAAUCACCAACUAGUUUCUGUAACCGUGUCAUCAACGGCUGCCAAGGGUCUUGUCAUUAUUCCAGCCACACACAGUAAAUGACUGGGGGAAAAUAGCAUUUUCCAUCUCAGGUACAAAGUAUUCCAAUCUGUGGCUGAGCUGGGGUUUUUGUUUAAACUGCCUCUGAAAGUCUUUCUGCAAAAGCAGCCUGUUAUGCAAAAGCUGGGAGUUAUUUCACAGAGCCCCGUUUAGAUUCUCUGAAUUUUCUGUACUUCCACAUUUCUUGAGCUCGCCCUUGCUUCCUGCCUGUGUGAUGCACAUUGGAGGAGGUACACAAAGGAAUUGUGCAAAGUUUGGAAGCAACUAGCAGGUGGGUUUGCAUUUUUCCAGGUUAAUUCACUUGAUGAAAAGCUGCUGUGGGUGAUGUGUCAUAUAUCAAAGGCAGGGCAUCAGUAAUCUUUGCUCAAGGGCACAGCUAACAGACAGAUAGACGGGAGAAUGAGAUGGAAAAAAGCAACUCAUCCUUUUCUGCUAACACCACAAAGGAGAUAAAGGAAGAUUUAUGAGUCAUCUCGGACCACAUACCAGCAAGCAGCACACCGUAUUUUUCACAUGUUCCCAAAAUUGGUGGUGGAAGGCAAUCUGGUUGUCACUGUGUCCAUCCAGUCCUGUAGGAAACAGUGGGAUCCUUGGACCUUUUGGCUGUGGAGUCAGCUCUUUGCCCCCCCUGCAAAGAGAUGUGUGUGUUCACACUCGGCGUCGGUACGCACUUUCCAAGCAUCUUUGCCCUCUUUAAGAAAGUGACCUCUGUAGAAUAAAAAAACAGAGGAUUACCUGAAGCAGAUGUGGCUAAUGAGUCCUGGACACUUAGAUGAUGCAGACUUUUUCAGCUGACACUCACCUAUUUAAUUUUACUUUUGUGAUAACCAGCCUCAUGUGUUUACCGAUUUUGGGUGUGAGGAAGCGGGGAGGAGGGGGAGACUGUUGGUUGCUUUUUUUUUCUUUUCCUACCUUUGAGUUGAGCCAACCUUGGCCAGACACAAAGAGGGCUUUGCAGCCCAGGUUAAUUUGAAUGGGCUGUUUUGUGUGGUGUUAACCCAGGACACUAGUUACUAAAAAAAAAAAAAUAGGGCUUCUUUAUUCGGGCAGCUCAGCAGCUGUCUCUGAAAGUGUUGUGAGGAACAAUUGAUAGAAGUGUGGAGAGGCUUCUGGAUAUUUCUCUCCCCAGCCUUGAAAAAGGCACCUGGAUUGCAGCUGGGUCACGCCUGGGUUUGUGACUGUUUACUUCACAUGGCAAUUUAAAAAGUACUGUAAAUUCCAAAAAAUGGUUUUGAAUUUUUUUUUUCUAAGGCCUCUGCAGUGUGCUACAUUUUUUGUUGAGAGGCAUGCAAUUAACAUUCCGUGCAGAAGGGCAUGAUUGAUUCUGCACAGUGGUGGCUAUAUGAGCAAACCUCAUUUAGACAGCUGAGUGAAAUAUACAGGGCAGAGGAAUUUAUGGGACCCAGAGAAGCUCACGUGCAGAAUGAAAAGGAGCCGCCUUCCCCACUUUCCUUCCGCCCCUGUAUCCCAGCCCUCACUCCCUCAGAAUUGCUCCCCAUCCAGCCGCCAGGGUGCCCACUCUUUGUCGUGAUGCCGCUUCGCCUGACAUCACCUGGCAGAGAAGAUUGAAUGCCACUUAAUCAUGCAGCCCUCCUGUGGGAAGCAUAGAGUAUGUAAUCAGAUAGACAGGAGGAGCUUUCAGAAUCUGUUAUGUGAGGUCGACAGGGACUCUGACGGAGUCCUAGAAAGAUGAGGAGGGAGCGGAGGAUGGCAGCUCCAGCUACUACACCAUAUCCUAAGAAAUGCCCCCAAAGAGGGUGGCUUGCUAAGUGUUCCAGGCUUUGACACUGACCUUCAGCAGGAUGGGUAAUUUGCAGGGUUGGGCAUUCACCUCAGAAGAUACGGGAAUAUCACCAACUUACUUUUGCCAAGUGAGCUCAGUACAGGAAUAGAUUAGUUUUAUGUUGUUCACCAAAGUAUCUGGCACAUAAUUGCUUUUAUUUGUUGUUGAGUUGGCUCCGACUCAUGGCGACCUUACAUAUAACAGAAUGAGAUGUUGUCUGGUUCUGUGCCAUCUCCACGAUCGUUGGUAUACUUGAGUCCAUUGUUGUAGCCUCGGUGUGUUUUGAGUCCCUUCCAACCUAGGAGACUCAUCUUCUAGCACUAUGUUGGACAGUAUUCUGUUGUGGUCUGUAGAGUUUUCAUUGGCUAAUUUUCAGAAAUAGAUAGCCAGGCCUUUCUUCCUAGUUUAUCUUAGUCUGGAAGCUCUGCUGAAACCGAUCUCCAUGGGUGACCCUGCUGGUAUUUGAAAUACUGGUGGCAAAGCUCCCAGCAUCACAACGACAUGCAAGCCACCACAGUAUGAAAAACUGGUAGAUGGUUGGUGGCAGGCACGCAGUAGGCUGUCUAUAAACAGUUGGUAUAUUGAAUUCACUUAACUCUCACUGGGAUGUGGGGUGCUGGAGAGAAAGCAUUUUUAGGUAUUUGGUUUGCUGCUCUGUCCCUGGUGCCCUAGGCAGCAUCUGUAGUGUGUGCUCGAUAAGCAUUUGUUGAUAGAGUGUGUGAAUGACAUUGUGGAAUGACGUCUGGUAGACAGAGUUUCUCAUUUCUUUUGAGUCCUGACGUAGGGAUGGCUUCAACUAAGGUGGGAAAUGAGAGGGAAGUUUUUUAGCUUCUUUUGAGCCCUUCUCUGGGGUUCAGAUGCUUCUCUGUUGCCUUGUUCAUGGCUCUCACAACCCCUUCUAGUCUCCAUUUUCUCUUGUUUUUUCCUAAAAAAAAAAAAUUAUUGUCCACUUAAUGACUUAGUACUGUGAGGAAGACUGAUAUCAUUCAUUGACUCUCUAGUGUAAAUUAGGCCAAAAACUUAAAAUUAUUUCCUCUUCAAGGGUCUUUUUGAAUUUUUUGAAAGUUGUUCGAUUGGAAUCUUUUCCUGAUAUAUUUGUGCUUUGUGUCUGUAGUAGGCUGAAAAAUUGCCUCCCAAAAGAUAACAGGUCCUGACCCCUGGAACCUGUGAAUAUUAUCAUAUAUGGCAAAGUCUUUGCAGAUGUGAUUAAGCAUUUUGAGAUGGGUAGAUUAUCCUGGAUUAUCUGGGUGGGCCCUAAAUGCAAUCACAUGUAUCGUUUUUAAGAGGGAGGCAGAGGGAGAUUGGACCCCCACACACAGGAGAAGGCCAUGUGAAGACAGUACAGAGAGAGAUUUGAAGAUGUUGACGUUGAAGACUGGAGUAAUGUGGCUGCAAGCCAAGGAAUGCCGGCAGCCACCAAAAGCUAGGAGAAGCAAAGAACGGAUUCUCCUUUAGAGCCUCUGGAAAGAGCACAGCUUUGCCAACGCAUCGAUUUUGGCCCAGUGAUACUGAUUUUGGACUUCUAUCCUCCAGAAUUGUGAGAGAAUAAAUUUCUGUUGUUUUAAGUCACUAAAUUUGUGGUCAUUUGUUACAUCAUCCAUAGGAAUGUGAUAUAGUCCCUGAAGGCCCUGGUGUUAGCCUCUCACCACUCCCAGAUGGCAGGCACAUCAGGGUCAGAACUGGUCAGUCCACUUUUUUCUCAUGGACAUACUUUAUAGGUGAGGACUCUAAGGGAAAGAAAAGGGGCAAAUUAUUAUAUGGAUAUCUUUAGUAAUUGCUCCACUGUGCAUUAUCAUUAUUUUAGUCUCAUAACAACCUUGUACAUUGAAUGGAUAAUAAUAACCUCAUUCUACAGGCAAGGGAACUGACUAUCAGGUUGUAACUUACAUAAAGAAAGACACCCAGCUAGCAAAUACCGAAGCUAGGAUUUGAAUGUAAGUAUCCCAGAUCCCACCCACUGCUGACAAAUUGGUUCCGACUCACAGCAACUCCAUAGGGUUUCCAAGGCUAUAAACCUGUUUGGAAGCAGACUGCUACACCUUUCUUUCAAAGAGCUGCUGAUAGUUUUGAACUGUCGACCUUUUGGUUAGCAGCCCAUAGCUUUAACCGUGGCGCUACCAGGGCUAUCCUAGAUCCUAGUUCAGUAUUUUAUCCCUUAUCCCGUGCUACUGUUUUUCAUUUCUGUGCACACACUGUUUUCCAAGUCUCCAGCUAGAAUCAGACACAGAGAUAUUCCUCUUAAGUUCUGUUCCUUUUCUCUGAAUGUGGUCCUUCAGUCCCAACCUCUGUUACAUUAAAUUAAUUUGGCCCAACCUAGAAAAGGCUACUUUUACCUUAUGUCAGAGAACUUGACCCUGAUAGCCAGGUAGAACUUUGAAGUUCUUUAGUGUAAAAAACAAAACUGUGUUAUAGUACAAUACGAUUGUGUGUGUGUGUGUUGAUGUGGGUGAGUGUGUGUGUGAGAGGGAGAUGAGAGAGAGAAUUGGGACACAUGCUGGGAUUAUUGUGAGCUGGAAAUUAAAAAUGCUUUGGGGGGUUUUUUUUGGAUGACAAAAUGUAACUGGUCUCACAGGACACCCCCUUUUUCAGACACAGCCUCUUCUUGAAUCACCCAGAGCUAGCAAUUCAGAACUGAGAUAUCAGUGUAGAAAGAACAUUAUUCCAAGGAGAAGUCAGGCAUAAUGGAAGCUGGAACCCAUCAAGGAUGGGCAAAGUGGGUGCGUGUCCUAUGGAACAUGCAGGGUUUGAGGGAGUGUUUUGAUUGUAGAAAUUACAGUUAGAGGUUUGCUUCAGCCUUCAUGCUGUCAGAUUGGGGAAGUUUAACUUUGAGUACAGCUGCUAGAGACAUACAAAGUCACCAUUCUCAUCUGUGGCAGUCCUUGCUGAUUCCAGCAAAUUAUAAAAUUAUACAACAGGAGCUGAGUGUGAUACCACUACUUCAAUUGUUACAAGAAAAACCUUCCAAAUCUGAGCAUUAUUAAGAAAUGAGCAAAUGCCUUAUUUGCAACAAGUUUCUCCACUGCAAGCACACACACACACACACACACACACACACAAAAUAUGCGGCAGAGAAAAUUGGCAGUCUUCUGAUGAUCAGAUUUAACAGCUGGAAGACUCCCAUUCAAAGUACUUUUGUAGUAAUAAAGCUAAUAAUUUUUUUCACAAACUGCCUUGAUAGCCAUAAUUCUGUUUUCUUAAGAUGUCUGUUAUCUAUACUUGAAUGAAAACACACAUACCUAUUUUGGUCCAUCAUUAUUGUAAGUAUGGCGGGAGGUUAGUGUUGUCUUUUCUCUUUAUAUUUUCUUCCUUUUCUCUCCCUUACUUUUUUUUUUUAUGUAUGUCACCCUAUAUUUGUAAGUUUUUAAUAUAUAAAAAACAACGAAAUAAUAUGCCAUUUCUUUUCAACAUUGUUCAUGUCAGGCGUUUCAUCCUCGUUUCUGCCCCACCCUUUGACUUCUGUAGUCAGUGGAUCAAGAACUGUGGUUUUAAAAAUUUAAUUAAAAAUUUUUUUCAAUUGAAAAGGUAGUAUAUGCCAGAGUUAAAAAUAUAAAUAGCACCAAAAUGUAUGAAUGGAAUGUAAGACUUCUCCUCCACUACUUUCCCUUCCCUAGGGGGGAAGUUUUUUGUGCAGUUCUCCAGAAAUUCUCUGUGUAUAUUCAAGCAAAGGACCAUAUAUUCAAAGAAUCGUGUAAUAGGAAAAUAAAACUAGAUUGGCCUUGUGCAGGCUGAGAGCAGGAGGGGGCAAAAGAAUGAUGGAUGAGAGAGAGAUGGAUGGGUGAAGUGAGCCUGGCGGUGACCAAGUUGUAAUUCAGAACAUUGUGCAAACUCUUGUUGCAUGGAUCUCACACCAUGUUAUUUCAUCAAGGAAUAGGGCGUGGGUUUAGAAGUUGUAGAAAUCCAGGAGGAGAAAGUGAGUUCCACAGUGUCAUUGUUUGCUAUAGUCCAGAGUGAGAGAACUGUGAGUAAUGGGGUAAAAUUAAGCAGAAAGGAAUUUAAGCUGGGAAAAUCAGGACAAAUUUCACAAUGGGGAGAGUACGUGGAUAUGGUGUCCUCAGGGAGGUAAUAGAAGCCGAGGCACUAAAGGAGCUAGAAACAAGACUUGACAGAAAGCGUGAGAAAACGGACAAUGGGGAACUGUCCCUGGGGAUUGGUGCAGUGACCUUAAUCAGGUUCUUCCCUCCAUAGCUCUGGAUUCACUGAUUCAGUCUCAAAUGAUCAAUGGAAAGAAACAAUUGCUUGGAAAAUGGCCCUAGGGAAUAAUAGCUAUUAACAGUAGAUACUGUCUGACUCUCCUGUAAGAAUUAACUCCAUCCAUCCAUCCAUCCACCCAUCCACCCAUCCACCCAUCCACCCAUCCACCCAUCCACCCAUCCACCCAUCCACCCACCCACCCACCCACCCACCCAUCCACCCAUCCACCCACAUAUUCAUUCACUUAUCCAUCCCUUCAUCCAUUUAAUAUAGUUUUCAGCACCUACUACAUAUAUAGAGUAUUGAGGGUACUUUAGGUAGGGUGGUCAUAAGUCAUCUCUGAAGAGGAGAUGUUUAUGGUGAGAUUAGUGAUUCAGAAUGGAAGGAACUGAGGAAGAACAUUCCAGACAGAGGGACAGCAUGUGCAAAGGCCACGAAGUAUGAAAAGGCCUGGCCAGUUGGAAGAUCGGAGAGAAGACUGAUGUAACUGGUGUGAUGGUUAAGAUUGUGUGUCAGCUUGGCUCGGCCAUGGUUCUCAGUGUUUUGGCAGUUGUAUAAUGUUGUGGUCACAUUCCUGUUGAAAUUUGAUAUGUGAUCACCCCCUUGGUGGAAUCUGCUGAAUGAUACUGGUGGGGGUGGGGUCUGUGGCGGCUCACAGCCCCCUCAGCCUUCAUCUCUCCGCCUUCUGCCACCUAUUUCCUUCCUGCUCGCCUUGCAAAUGUUGUUGGCUUCUUCUGGAUCCGAAAUCUGUCUCUCCUCUGACCUCUGGUUCUUGGGACUUGAGCUAGCAGCUUACCUGUCCAUCUUGGGAUUCGCUGAUCUUCACAGCCUGUGGGUAAGAGUCCUGCUCCCCAACCUGUCUAUCUUGGGUUCACUAGCCCCUGAAGCUAAGUGACUCAGGAGAAACCUUGCAGCCCUGCCUGCUGACCUUGGGGAUUCCUUGUCUGUCACAACCUGUGAGCAGGAUCCAUGCUCUCCAAUCUGCUCAUCCUGGGUUCACCUGCUUCUGUGGCCCUGUGAAUCUGGAAAGGACUCUAUCCUGAUCCAAAGAGUUGGGACGUUCCAACCACUACAAUCACAUGAGCUGUUUCCUUAAUAUAAAUCUCUCUCUCUAUAUUUAUGGCAACCCUGGUGGCGUAGUGGUUAAGUGCUAUGGCUACUAACCAAGAGGUCAGCAGUUCGAAUCUACCAGGUACUCCUUGGAAACUGUAUGGUGCAGUGCUACUCUGUCCUAUAGGGUCGCUAUGAAUCAGAAUCGACUCGACAGCAGUGGGCUUGGGCUUUAUAUCUAUUUAUACCCAUUACUGGUUUUGCUUCUCCAGAGAACCCAACCAAAGACAACUGGCUAGGUAAAGGGGGAUGAAGAGGCUGAAGAAGGAGUUGAGGAGUCAGGCAGGAACCAGAUUAUGCAGGGUCUGGUGGGCUCAUACUAGGAGUUUGAUGUUUAUUUUAAGACAAUGGGAUUUAGGUUUAGAUUUUGGAGGGUCUUUUCUUUCUGCUUUCAGACUUACUUUAUACCCAUUGGUAUCUACUUUUUAGAAGUCAAUUGUGGUUGUCAGAGAAAUGUGGGAGGGUUGUUGAGCACUUUUAUGAAGAAAGGUAUGGUACAGGGUUUGUAUUGCCAAGUGUGGGAAAGGCAAGUUUGGCAACUGGGUGAAACUGGCAAAGGGGAUUCAGCCUGUCUUAUAGUUAUGUUUUUGCUUCAGGUGGUUAGGGUUUUCAGGAAAGGGCCAUCGUAUGAAGGUAGUUAGUACCGGAAAAGGACCACCUAAGAUGAAUCAAAAUACUAUGGUAAAUAGGAAAAAUAAAUUUGGGAUUUAAUCUCGAAAACUGAAACUCAAAAUUAUAUAUAUAUUUUUAUCAAAAACAUUCAGUUGUAAUUGUAGUCUAAUUCUUAGAACAAAAAAUUCAACUAUUUAAUUUUUUUGCCAUAAUUUUUCUGACAAGAUGUCAUGUUGGCACUGUCUUUUACUUCAUGUUUGUGUUCAUAGUAUAAUCAUAAAUGUUUGAUUUUGCAAAAUUUGGUCCUCAUCAAUUUUAUAAGAGCCUUUCUCAAUUCUUUGAUAUUUAACUCAGUCUCUUAUAAAAUUCCUAUUUUAUCAUUCUCUUGAUUUUCUCUUUUUUGAUUGGCAGUUAGUCUAAGGGUGUAAGAUUAAUGGUUUCUAGUGUAAUUUGACCAUUUCUCCAACAUCAGUUCAGUUGACGUCAUGAAACCCCACACCUUCUGCAGAAGUUUCAGUUUCCUUUUGCAGUUUUUUUUUUUUUACUGGAGUUUAUGUAACUUUUGGCCAUCAGUGUAAGCCUGACAGACAUAAACUGUUGACACAGUCAUCAGGGAUGGAUGCUGCUUGGGAAGGAUGUUUGAGAGGGGGCCAGUUUUAUAAACUGUGAAUUCAUUCAUGAGCCUUUUCAAGUUACGAUGACUUUUGCUUCCCUAUGCAGAUUCAAAGCUGAAGUACUCCAAUAGCAGAUAUUUAAAUAUUUGAGGCUGCUCCUUAUAAUAAUUAAGCACCUAACGUGUAUCUGGCUUUUGGAAGGGCAUAAAAGGUACGAAAUGCUUUGUACCUUUUGGUAUCAUCACAUAUCUAAUUGGGUUUAGGUGUAAAAGUGUAUCAUUGUUGGAGUGGGAGGAGACAUUUUGUAGCCAGAGUGCCCAGCCCCUCAGUGUGCUCUUGCUAUGGUGUUUGAAGGAGUGAGUGGUGGAGAAAUUCACCAGGGCUACACGGAUAGGCAGCUUCACUCUGGGAUACAGCUUGAAAUUUGCUUCUGGAAGUGGGUGGAUCUGGGCCGAGUUUAAGGGGAAAAAAAAAAUAAAAUGGAAAGUUUUUCCUCUUGUUAAAAAAAAUUUUUUUUUUUUUCAGAAAAUAAUAUGAAUGUUUCUCCUCAUCCCAUCUGAACCACUACUGACAUUCUGGGCCAAAUAAGUCUUUGUUGUGGGGCUGCCCUAUGCAUUGCAGGAGAUUUACCAACAUCCCUGGCCUCUACCUACUAGAUGCCAGUAGGAAAUGAUCCCCUCUACCCAUGGAAACCAAAAAUGCCUUCAGACGUUGCCCAAUGUCCCUGGGGGACAAAAUCACCCUUGGCUGAGAAUCUUGAUCUAGAGAUAGUCCAGAGAGGUUGCAACAGAAAGAUUGGAAUAUGCUAAAUAGGUAAAGGAAGUGACCACUUCCAGUUCUGGCCAAUUUACUGGGCUCUUAAACACAGUCCUUAGAUCCAGGGGAAGGAUGUUUCUUACUUGUAUGGGAAUGAACCCAGUGGAGUCUCCUUUGGGUCCAGUGGAACAAGCCUGGUGAGAGGGACACAUUGGGAGCAUCAGAAUUCUGGAUCAGGUGGGACCCGGGUGAAGCUACUGGGAAGGUGUCAAAUGAAUGUCUUCUAUGUCCUUGAGUUGUGGGUGACCUGAGGUCCCAGGACCAUUGGCUAGGGUAUUCAUAUCAGCUCACCAUUCCUCAAUGUUAUAUUUGCCCCAGCCUUUUUUUUUUUUUAGUCCUUAGGUCAAGCUGUUUCCCCUACUGUGAAUACCCUCUGGCUUUCUGGCUUUCUUUAUAUCUUUGUAAAUAUGACCAAGUUUUUAAGAUCCAAGUAAACUCUUUUUUUGUUGUUGUUAUUACUCCUCACACCUCCCUGAAGACGAGCAAAACUCUGGUAUGAAGCCUCUUCAACUUCUCUGGCCCACGUGUGAGUUCUUCGUGCUCUAACCCCCCACAUCACUCAUUAGAGCUUUUAUUUGAGCAUUUCAUCAAAGAUAGUUUUAAAAUUUUGUGGGCCUCUCUCAUCUCCCUGGCGGAAUUAUAAACUCUUUCAGGGCUUGGACUGUAUCUUUCUAAUCCCCCUGAUUCGUAACAUAGCAUAGUAGGUACUGAGUCAAUUCUAAGUGAACCAAAGUAGAUUGAAGUAAAUCGGCUUGCUCAUUCACUCAGCAUUGUGUCUUGCAGAUCCUCUCCACACACUCCAGCCAUAACUCUUUACAUAGUUUGGGGAGACAGUACAUGGCUUGACAGUUCUCCAAAUAUAAAAAUAAUUUAGCUCACACUUAAUUUUUAUAAGAAGGUAAGUUUAAUAUUGUCAAGCAUUACAAUUUUUCUUUUUAAGUUCUUACAUCCUUUCUGUUUCUCUUAAUGUCAUUUUGGCUUCAAAGAGUGUAAUUUUAAAAUUAUGAGUACUGUUGGACUUGUUAGUGUUUCUUCUUUUGUGUAUAUAAUGUUUCAAGAGCUGUUGAUGGCUAAAUGUCGUUUUUGUACUUUUUGGAUUCAUAACAGUUCAAUUACAUUCAAAAACAAUUAAUAAUAUGUAUCUUAGAAAUAGCUGUCAUGUAUCUGGUGGAUAUGACAUAUUGUUAGGUGUUUCAAGUUAAAGUUCUGUAUCCAGGCCAAGUUUAGAAAGACAAGGAGCAGACUGUUUUAUAGACAAGCAGAAGAAUACAGCAAAUUUAUGACAAAGAAUACUACCAUAAUGUAGCCAUGCUUGGGAAACUCGCUUCUCAACUCAAAAAAUAAGCCAAUUAUCAGUAGCCUAUAGCAAAUACUUUUUUGUUGUUGUUCCUUUAUUUAUAUCUGGUUUCAUUCUGAAAACAGCCGGAAAGCCUGACAAGUUAAAGGAGAAGAUAUUACCACUAAAUACACACCACCCAAGGCAGUUUUCCCAGAUUCUUGAGGGAAGCUUGCUCCAGCUCAGACACAUUGGCUCUGUGAUUUUUAGAAUUUAAGCUGGGAUGAAAGCUCUUUAUAAAGGGUCAUUGUUUUCAAAAUGGAGCUCUCCAGACUGGAAGGAAAUAGGGUCUGUCAAGAAUGAUGUCAGUUGUGGGAAGGGUGGAGGGAGGAUCCUGUGACGCCACCUCAAUCAGGACGUGUUUGGUUUUAUCUACCUUUAUUUGGCUCUGUCCUAGUGGACAUUAACUUCUCUUUCAAGAAGCGAGUCUCUUUGAGAUUUGAUCUUUUUCUUUGGAGAUUUUGUAGGGCCCAUUAGGAGGGGCCUAGCCAGGAGAUUAGGCUGUCCAGUCAAGGAUUUUCAUUAUUAUUUUUAUAGAAGGAGGUCAGAUUUAGAUUUUGCUACUCUUUUAGCCUGUCCCAUAAAAACACCUGAGAUUUUCUAUUGAUAUAAACUUUACGGUAUUUGGUCUGCAAAGAAAUGCAUGGCAACUUUUUAUACUUAACCUAACAGCGUUGCAUCUUCAGGUGUUGGGAAAUUCAGCAAUAGUCAGCAUAAUGAGUCAUGAUGUCUUAUGUGGGACCUUAAGCAUAGACAGUGUAAUCCUUGCCUUAUAGUCUUCCCAUCACCUGUGAACUGUAUACAUGAGGUGAUAAGCAGCCUCCUUGUGUUUGGAAACUGCCCAGAUCCCACUGAGGAGUCUUCUUAAGCUGCUCAAACUGCUUCAAAGGAGUCUCUUGGUGGCCUUGAGAGUCCUCUAUCUUAAUUCUUUUGUUUGUUUAUUUUAUUGUGGUAAGAAGAUACAUAACAAAAUAUAUACCAUCUCAACAACUUCUACACUUACAAUUCAGUGACAUUGAUUACAUUCUUCAAAUUGUGCACCAUUCUCACUAUCCUCUUCCAAAUCAUUGCACCAUUAACAUAAACUCAGUGCUCCCUAAGCAAAAACUCCCUCCCAUACCUAGUAACCCCUAAUAACCUUUAGUUUCUAUAUAUUUGCUUAUUUCAUGUAAGGGAGAUCAUACAAUAUUUGUCCUUUUGAGACUGACAUUUCACUCACCAUGAUGUUUUCAAGGUUCAUUCAUGUUGUGGCAUAAUGCAUCAGGACUUCAUUUCUCUUACGGCAGAGUAGAAGUCUAUCGUGUCUGUGUACCACAUUUUGUUUAUCCAUUCAUCUGUUGAUGGGAAUUUCAGAUGUUUCUGCCUCUUGGCUGUUGUGAAAAGUGCUGCAGUGAACUUUGGUGUACAGGUUUCUGUCUGUAUUCUUGCCUUCACUUCUUCUGGGUAGGUACCUUGGAUUGAAAUUCAUGAGUUAUGGAUCAACUUUUUGAUGAAACACCAAACUAUUUUCCACAGUGGCUGCACCAUUUUACAUUCCCACCAGCAAUGGAUGAGGGUUCCAGUUUCUCCACAACCUUGUCAAUACUUCUUGUUUUCUUUUUGAUCAUUACCACUCUAAUAGGGUCCACCUCAACUCUUAUGGCUAUCUAUGAAUGGACUUACCUUUCAGGAGCUCCGGAAACCUCUAGGAGUCUCCAGCGUUCAGGUAGAACUGGAAACAUGAUAAGUGUAGGCCUUGGGAUGCUGGCAUAAGAUACUAAGGCAGAGGAAAAGUGUGGAGGGUACUUUCCUUCUAUUGACUUCAGACCUGUCUGAACUAGGACGCUGAGCCAGCUAUGAAUACCCGGCCAAGGAGCUCAGCUUACCAACCAGAGGCUGUUAUAAUUAGUCUUAAUGUCUGCCUCUUUCACUUUGCUAUUUGAUAUAAUUAGCCCUACUCAAAACUCCAGGAGAAGAAACUACUCAAAGCUCCCUUUAUUGUUUGUCACCUCAGGGCCACCACAUUCAUUCUGUGCUAUUUUGAUGCCAAACAGUGAGAAAAACAUUUUGAACCAAAGAUGGCAUAAGUGUUCUACAAGUUAUUCUUUUUUUUUUUUUUGCUUGAGAAUCAUAGAAUUUUGGUCCUAGAAGAACUCAAAGAGAUGAUUCAGUUCAGUGAUUCUCAAAGUUCUAGAAAUCUUUUGUGGGCGUAGUGGGGCUGAAGAGAUCCUGCUCUGCCUCCAAAACACUGUGAGUUUUCUUUGUCUGUCAGGCUUGACUUGGAGAAAUGGUUCUGAGUCUCAACAUAAGCUUGAAAAAAGCACUGAAGCGGCCUUUUUAUUUUACAAAGGGGAGACCAAGGCCCAUGGACUCAGAAGUCAUUUAAGAAGGAAAUUUCGGGAUUGUUUCCCAUCCAUCUUUGCCUAUAUCCCUAUAACAUUUUCAGUGCUAUUCUUGAAUUAAUAUUCUUAUCAGUUGCCAGACAGAGGUUAUCUACCCUGAACAAGUCCAUUGGACACUAUUAGUAAGGGAAUAGUGUGCUGUACAUUACACUGUCUUAGAAAAGUUCCUAUCUCCCGUUUGCGUAUCUUUUAUGAAAACACUUCAAACUGCACCUGUUUAAACCUUUCCAUGGAGAUGUCUGAAAAGUAAACAGUUGGUUCUGGAGCAGUUAUAACAUAGCAUUGUUUAACAUGGCAGCUCAUUGAUGGUCAUCUUUAAUUAUGGCCUUGCUGUCAACCUCUGAAGUCUCUUUGUUGUAGAUCCGUUAUGACAUUGAGGUUUUCAAAGUUGCAGAGAUGAAAAACUCAACAGUCAAAUGUUGCUCAUUCCAGUAUGCUUAAGGAGCAAGGAAGGGACAUUGCCCAUGAGGGAUUCAGAGCCUGGGAGAGAACAUGGGUGCCCUCUCUGCUUUUGAUGACAACAUAGGAGCCCCAGUUUCCUCUCUGUUUACAAUGAAGCAGGGCCAAGGCUGGAGGGGACUGGAAUGAUUUAUUCAGUCAUGGUAAACAAGUGCGGAGUUUGGCUGCUGAGCUUUGCAGGCUGGUGGAAAAGCUGCUGUCUCUUGCCCCGAGAAGUUUGUACAUUAUACACGUGAAGCUCAAAGCAGACCCAACAAGGCUUUCUUGAACCUUCUAUUUCCUUUGCUUUCAGUCUGCCGGAGCUCUGUGUUCCUGGGCCCCCAUAUGCUGGUGCUAGUCAGGGCUGUAAUCAUGGGUCAGCCCCAUCUCAGACCAAAGGUAUCCAUUUAGGGGGUUGCUUCAGUCUGGCUCCUCUUAUCAUUAAGAUGUGUUGUCAGCAGCUCUUAUAAAGGGCUGUCCCAUUGCAGCUGUGGCUGCCAGAUCAGCCCCCGGCUCCUGCAACAAGCUUCUUUUGUUGGAGAGCCGUCUAUUCAGAAUCUGUUUAAAUUUAUAAGCCACCUCUGCCAGGUACCAUCCUGGCUGGAGGCUCACUUUACCAGAGCCCCUUAAGAGGCAGGGUGCCCUAGUGACUAAGGGCGUGGACUCUGGAGCCAGGCUGCCAGGCUCUGAAUCCUGGCUUUGCUGCUUACUAGUUCUGUGAUUUGGGCAAAUUACUUACCCUCUCUGGGUUCCAGUUUCCUCAUUGCAAAAUGAGGAUAAUAAUAGCAACUAUGUUGUGAAGUUGUGAAGACUAAAUGAGUUAAUAUGUAGGUAAAAUACUUAGAGCAGCAUGUGCUACAAAGCAGGCACUAUACCUGUGUAUUGAGUAUUUAUAUAUCACGUGGGCAUAUAUUCUAUGACAUAUACUACACAAUGUAUGAUAUAUAAUUUAUUUUGUGUAACAUCUUCACAUACCUGCAAAAGUAAAUUUUGUGGAUCCAGGUGGGGAGGGGUUAAUAAACAGACCAUUACUUGAUUUCUUUGUGGAGAGAUUCACCAAGUCCCCAGGGCAGAAUGAAUCCUGGCUCUUAUUGGUCCUUUUCUUAAGUGUCAACUUCUGGUGCCUUCCCUCUGCUCCGGAGCACAGGAGCUCACUCUAAUGCUCGUCCGUUGUGACCCUCCAUGCUGUGGGAGGCAAGUCCUGCUUCCAUGACUGGCACUUGCUGUCCUCUGAUAACCUCUGAGUCAGUCAGUGAGCACUGGGGUAGAGGGAGUCACCUGUGGUUGGUUUGGCAUUGUUCUGACUGCUGUGGGAUUUGCAGAAGUAGAAUAGGACCUUCAGAGAGGUUACAGUCUAAUUGGAUGAUCAAAACUAACUCAUGAAAUAUUUAAGAGCACAAUCCAUCUGGUUAAAGAGAUUAGUCCAUUUCCAAAGAAAAGACAAGUAGAAACCAAAAGGUUGAACUCGAGAGUAGGCAGAAAAUGCUUUCUACCUUUGGAGGUAGUUGAGGCCAGUGCUGAAGAUCAUGGUUUCACACCGACUGAGUUAUCACCUUGUUCCAGAAGGGAAGAUCCAAGUCCAUAGGAACAAAGAAAGUUCACAUUUAUCCAGUAAGUACCAUGAUCCGAGCACUCAGCUAAAUGCUUACCUAGUAUUGUCUGAUCUCCACAGCCACCCUAUAGAAAAGGUAUUAACCCAUUUUUUUUUUUUUAAAGCUAAGAAAACUAGGGCUCUGAGAUAGUAAGUAAUGCCUUAAACUAUCACAGCUAUUAAGUUUGCAGAGCUGGGAAAUUUUAACCCAGAGUCAGCUUGAUUCCAAACCUUGUGCUUUUUCUACUUCUGUCAGAAAGGGACACUAGCUACUGUUUUUCUUAGUUCAUUUUUGCAUGAAUUUAGCUGGAAAACAUUCACAUUUAAUCCCUUCCUUUCACCUGCCCCGAUGAAAGGAAGAUCUAACUAACAUUGGCCACCACAUUCUCCUCUGGGACCAGUCAAGAAGACAGUGAUGUUAUCAGCAGAAGCCUAAUUACUCUACCCAGGGAAAACAAGAAACCUCUGAAACAGUCAUAUCCAAGCCAAGCAAAGCUCUGGGAGAAAGCCCUGGGACGUUCAGCAAGAGCAGCCUAAAAGGCCUUUUGAACAAAAAUUGAACCCAAAUGAAAACACUGCAUGCUAGCCCUGGGCCGAUAAACAGUGUCUGAAUUGCAGUGUUAGGGCAAGAUGCUUGGUUUAGUAGCUGAGCCAGGCUCUCUGCUAUUAUAACAAAUUAACCCUGAAAUCUCAGUGGCUUUACACCACACAGUUUUAUUUCUGGCUUACCUAACAUGUCCAGUGACGGCUGGUGUUGGGAGAACUCUGCUUCACACAGUCACAUGGUGGUCCAGCCUGAUGAAGCUUUGACUGCAGUGACUGUGUGGCAUGUGCAGUGAUGAAGAUGAUCUGCCAUCUUGUUGCGGCACUGUCGGGAUCAUGAGGUCCCCAAAAUUGCAUGGGAGGUCUGCACUAUAACCGUUUGCCAUUGAAUUAGUUCUGACUCAUGGCAGCCCCAUGUGUGUCAGAGAACCAUGCCCCAUAGGGUUUCCACUGGCUUAUUUUUUGGAAAUGGAUCUCGAGGCUUUUCUUCCAAGGUACCUCUGGGUGGACUUGAACUGCCAGCCUUUCGGUUAGCAGCUGAACACGUUAACCAUUUGCACAACCUAGGAAUGGCUUAUAUCCCUUUCUUCCUGUUUUCCUAGAAUCCAAACAAACUGUAAGGGAGGUUGGGGAAUGUUAUCUUUCAACGUGCCCAGGAGGAAGACAGUGAAACAAGAUUUGGUGAACACAUAGCAGCGUGUCUUCACCACACUGGUACUGGAGAUACCAUGUAGGGGACAGAGGGUAGAGACUUGGAGUAGAGACCCACCCAUGCUUAGAGAUGAUUUCAAGAACUGUCAGGCAGUCUUCACAUGAUCACUGCAGCCAGAGCAGGACAGGAGUAGGUCAGCAUCAGGGAGGGAGGGCAGAAAGCUGGAGGACAUAGCUCUGAAUGCCUAAGGCAGGCAACCCAUAGUUGGCACCAGCCUCCAUAGAAAUAGAACAUUAGGGUCAAACAGAAAAGCAGGAACCCACUCCAGUAAAUUGGGUAUGAAGGGCAGAAGCCAAACAUGAAGCCAUGGGUGUUGGUGUCAGUGGGGCCACAUCUCCCCCUUGUUGGGAAGCUAUUCAGAUACUGCUUGAGUGCAAGUGAGUGUACCUAGCUCCACUCGUAGAGGGAGGUCAGAGUGGAGUCUUUUUCAUCUCUGUGUCUAAAAAAUAAAUUUUUGUUACGGAAGAGAUGUCAGUUCUACCUGACACUUCGUGCAGACAGCUGUAGACAGAAACAAUCACAGCAGUUUCAAACCCAAACUCCCUAUUUAUUGCUUAAAGAUUGUUAAGUGCCAUCGAAUUGGUUCCGACUCAUAGAGACCCUGUGUACAACAGAAUGAAACCCUGUCCAGUCCUGUUCCAUCCUCAGAAUUGUUGCUGUGUUUGAGCCCAUUAUUGCAGCCUCUCUGUCAGUCUGUCUCACUGAGGGUCUUCCCCUUUUUUUCUGACGCUUUACCUAGCAUAAUGUCUGUCCUAAUUUUGAAGGAGCACUCUGGCUGUAGUUCUUCUAAGACAGACCUGUUAGUUCUUCUAAGACAGACCUGUUAGUUCUUCUGGCAAUCCAUGGUAGACUCGAUAUUGUUUGCCAACACCAUAAUUAAAAGGCAUCAAUUCUUUGGUCUUCAUUAUUCAUUGUCCAACUUUCACAUGCAUAUUAGAUGAUUGAAAAUAUCAUGGCUUAGGUCAGGCGUACCUUAGUCUUCAGAGUGACGUCUUUGUUUUUCAACACUUCAAAGGGGUCUUUUGUUGCUGAUUUGCUACAGAAUGGUUAUGUUUGGGCCCAUUACUUAAAGAAGUAAGCCUUAAAUCCAUAAAGUGUGUUUGAAAUUCCCCCUGUCCCUGGCAGAGCAUGGUGAUCUCCCUCAUGCCUUUGCAGCUGGUGUUCUCUUUCCCCCCAAAGACCCAGUCUUCUUUUCCCCAUUAUGAGGCCGUGCUCAUCUCUGAAGACUCAGCUCUAAUAUAGUUGCUGUAAGGUAUUUUCUGACUCCUCAUCUCUUUAGCAUCCUCACUGUCCUUAGUACUUAAUUUAUAUGGUGCGGCAAUAUUGAAAUCAUUUCUUUAUUUGUCUGUUUGCUCCACUUGACUGGAUUUUGCAUUUUUCAUUCACCUUCUUGUCCCAAUGCCUGGCUCAUAAUAACCUCCAAUAAAUUUUUGUUAUGGAAGAACUGUCAAUUCUACCUGGUGCUUCAUGCAGACAGCUGCAGACAGAAGCAACUACUAGUAGAAGGGAUAUGAUGUUUCGAUUAUUGAUUAAUUAGUUGGCUAUUGAUUCAUUAUUCAACAUGAGAAAUAGAGAUGGGAGAAAUAAAUAAGGCAAAAGAUUAAAGUGAGUUGGAGUAUCCCUUUUGUGGAGAACAGCAGUAAUGUAACAGCAAACAUUUCUAUAUCGAUUUAACUUUUAUAAAGUGCUUUAACAUAAACAUUGUAUCAUUUGUUCUUAUUGUAACACUGUGAGGGAGAUGGAGAUAUUAUUACUGCUCUCAUUUAAAGUUGUGGAAAUUGAGGUUAAAUUCGUGGCUUAUCCAAAGCUCACGCAGUUGUCUGGAUAGUAAGUGUCAGUGCCAGGAGUCAUAGCUAAGCCCUUGUAGCUAUAAACCCUGUUAUUAUUUUUUUUCUGAUACCCCUUAUGGACUACUCUCUCAUGCAAACAAUUGAGCAAAGAUGAGAAGAGAGGACGAAAGGAGGGGAAAAGCAAAUCUAAAUAAGGGAACGUUGCUGAAUUUAAUUUACAUCAUUUAAUGUCCACAGAUAACUCUGUAAGGUAGAUAUUGCUGUCCCCAUUUUGCAGAGGGCAUAACAGAGGAUUGGAAGUUACAGUAACUUCCUAGUAAGUAAUAGAGAUUGGACUCAAACCCAGGGUCUCUCUGUCUCUGAAACUCGAUUGCUUUCCUUUAUUGUAUUGCUCGAGUCACCUGUUAGGCCCUGGGGUCACAAGGGAGAAGGUUCUGGCUGUGUCUUGGCUGACCCCACCUCUCUCAGCAUGGGAAUUUGUUGGGGAGGGGGGUCACAGCUACAGCUUUUUUGUCACCCUCUCUCGUGAAGCGCAUGAGACCCACACAUGGCGUUGGCAAGGUUUCAAAGGAGUCACUGAUGACCUGCUGAGGUAUUUUCAUUCUGUUCCUGAAAAUGAUUAAUCUUGAGGCUUUCUAAUGGCGCUUUCCACAAAGAGCCUUCCUUAAUCUAUAAUUUUCCUGCUUCCCUUCAAGGUAAUAGUUUACAUUUAAGAAAUAAAAAUAAGCAAAAUAAUCCUGCUGUGAGGAUGUGUGUACGUUAUCUGUGUGCGAUGCUGACGAAGAUCUAAAUCCGCCUGAAAUGGGUUGUAAAAAGGGUCUUGUUUAAAGCUCAGUUUCCUUGGUCACUCUGUUUCUAACUGUCCAUCUCUGAUUCUUUCUUGUUAUCUCUCUUCUCCCUCCUUAGCAGAGAGGGGAAACGUUACUGUUCUUUUUUCUUUCUCUAGGUGAUUUUUCAGCUGCUCCUCCCACUUUGAAUUUCAGUCACUUAUGGUCCCAAGAGGCUGCAAGGAAGCCAGUACUUGUAGGUAGAGGUCUGCCUGAUAUCAUGUGAUCCAGGAUGGACAGAGAGAAGAUGUUUUUCCUGGAGUUGCCAACUGAACACCCCCAAGCUCCUUUUUACUAGAGGCACUGGUUGCUGGUCCAGUUAGGGUCAGUGUAAUGCAAGGACACUUUUCAGAAGAGGACUAGGGUGAAACUCCCAGCAGAUGGAUCCUUGGUACGUGCUGAGGAGAGGAUUUGGCUGAGAGAUCCCUAGCUCUCACGUGUUGAGACCCUUUAGCCCGCACCCGCUUGCAUGUGUUUUCAUUUUAUGUUUUCCACCUGCCCCCAGAGCUGUGGCGUACCUGCUGUUGCUCUCAGGCCCCUUGCCAACAGUGGCAUCUGCUCAGUGUAGCCAUCAAGAAUUUGAAUGUCAAUAUCUUUGCCUUGAAAUGAAUGGAAAAGUAUUUGUCACUCAGCGGCAAUCAUUCUUCAAAUGAAAGGUUAGCCAGACAGGGCCCUUAAUCAAAGAGUCGGUCUUUUCUGUCAGCAGUGCCUUUUAAAUAGCAAUGAUGAAGGCUGGCUGUCAGGGUAGGACUUGAUGAGCGAGAUGAUUGAUCUGCAUAAAUCAUUUUCUUUUAACAUUGUCAGUGAAGAGUAAAUUGGUGGGACAUUUUGGGUAUUAGCUGUGUUGAAAUUAAUAUGCAGCAUCCUAGGUGUGUCCUCACUCACGUAGCCCUUUUAUAAGAAGGUAGAAAUUAAAAAGAGGCUUUUAGGCGUGCAUUGUUCUAACAAGAAAGUUGCACCAUUCUUACUGCUGCGGUCAUCAUCCUGCCUGCUAAAUUCGGAAGUUGAGUGUAUAGCACAUUUUACAAGCUCCGAAAGGAAUCUAGUUAAUUUGGGAAUUAGCUAGAGUCAGUAGCAUUUAACAACCAGUAAAUCUGUAAAGACUCACUGCUCAGAGGGAGAAAAUCCACGAAUGGUUUCUGGUUUAAAGGAUAGGGUAUCUACUACCCAGCAUGCUGCUCUAGAAAUAGCCACAGUGUUAGUCCAGGUUUUGGCUCAAAUCCAAGUGAGUCCAAAGUAAGUCUCCUUGACUGUGACCCUUAAUCUUUUUUAGUCUGUUUCUUUGUCUCUAAAAAUGAGAUUCCAUUCAUUACCUUUGGUAAGAUGUUUUUGGCAUUAAACGGUAAUGUAGGCAAAGGCACCAAGCACAGUACUGGACAUAUGUGAGCAGGUGCUCAGUAAAGGUAAACCUUCUCCCUUGUUUUUACUCAGGCAAAAUGCCUAAAACGCAGAACACCAACUAAGACAUCAAUAUCAAGGACAUGCCAUGUUGUAAAUAAGUAAACUGUCCAUCUUUGGUCCCUCCUGUGCUUGCCAGGAUAUGGCCAUUUCUAUAUCAAAAACGUGCUUCAAGGGGCAGAAGAAAUACCUGAUUGCUGAAUACUGGCCUUAGGGAGUGAGGUGGGAGAAACAAGGGAGAAAUGUGGCCAACGACACUUAGUUUUUUUUUUUUUUUUGUCCUUACAGUUUCUCUCUGGAUUAUAUGUCUGGGUUCAAAUUAUUCAAAUUAUUGAACAAGUAAAACCUGUGUGAUACAGAGUGGAAAUUCAAAGCAGGGCCAGUGAAGCCGAAUUGCGGAGUUCAGAUCCCAGGUCUUCCACUCACUUGCUCUGUGACUCUGGGCAAGAGAGUUAAUUGCCUCCCUGACCUGCAGUUUUGUUUCCUUUAAAAUGGGGAUAGUAAUGGUAUCUGUCUUACAGCCUUAGGGUGAUUAAGUAAUACAUAAAACUGUAAUAAAACACCAAGAGGAGUACCUAGGAAAUACAUGUUAACUAUCAUUACUAUAAUUGCUUGAUUGAUUGGUUGACUAACUGACAAGGUGGGUACUGGUGAAAUUCAUUUGGGCCAAAAGUGUCAAAGGAUAUAUUUAGAUGCGUUAGAUAUUUACAGGAGUCCAUGAUAAUGGUACUCUGGGGUGAAAUACUUGCUUUAUUCUGGAGAAACUUCCCUCAUAGAGGAAUUUGGAGCCAGGAUGAUCCUAAAACCGUCCGUAUUUUAGGUGGGCAGUAGCGCUGUUAGAGGGAAUGACCCACAGCCCUUCCCUGCUCACCCUCUCCUCACUCUAGGAAUAAAAUCUGAUCAAGAUGUCUUAUGGACAGAGCUAACAAAGGAGAGGUUUUUUUCUGUCUUAUUUUUUUAUUGAUUGCAUAUCUAAGUCACUGAAAACUAGAUUUUUAUGGGGUCUUAUAAAUAGUCUUCACUUGCUGUAUUGAAAGUAAAGGUUAAAAGAACAUUGCUUAUUCAGAUUCUUCAUAUGUCUCCUAUACCGGCAAAUCCACAUCAGUCUCUGCAUGUGGGCAUGUGGCAGGGGCAGGUAGGAGCCUGUGUGACACGUGUGUGCCAUGUUGUUGUUGUUAGUCACCACUGAGCCAAUUCUGACUGCUCUGUAGAGCUUUCUCUGUAGUAGCUCUCUCUGCUACUUUUAGUAGCAGAUCAACAGGCCUGUCUCCCAAGGUGCCUCUGGGUAGUUUUGAACUGCCAACCUUUUGGCUGGUAGUCAAGCACUUAACCAUUUUUGCCACCUAGAUAUUCCUCGGAAACCCUGGUGGCGUAGUGGUUAAAUGCUACGGCUGCUAACUGAAGGGUCGGCGGUUUGAAUCCGCCAGGCGCUCCUUGGAAACUCUAUGGGGCAGUUUUACUCUGCCCUGUAGGGUCGCUAUGAGUCAGAACCAACUCGAUGGCACUGGGUUUGGUUAGAUAUUCCUCACAUGUGCCAUAUACCAGUACAAAUGAGCAGAUAUUGCCUGAAGAGUACCUCUGUUCCUUGGAGAUUUACGUUCUUUCUGAGGCUCCUUUUUGGCAGAGGCGAUCAGUUGUAUUGGCCUUUGUGCCUUCCUCCUUUCCCAUCUUCUGACUUUAUCUCGUUUGAGCCUUUAAUCUCCUCCUGCAUAAUCAAUGAGAGAAGUUGCUACAAGACAUUUUCAGAGGCAUUCCUAGAAACACUGAUGAUUCUGUGGAACUCUUCAAAGGGAGGCAGCAAAGGUCUCCCCAUUCUCUGAUGAGCCAAGAAUAGAGAUUUGAUCGCUUUCCCAGUCUCAACUCUUUGAUGAUGCUGCCUUAAGUAGAGGCACUGUCAUUGUGUUGCUUCUAGAAAGAGACUGAAAUUGUGCUAUAUCUUCUUCAGCGGCAUGAUGGCUACAUUUGAGAAUUUCUAGAAAACAUUUUCUUCUGCUUUGGUUUGCAGUUCUGUGGGCUGCAGAAGUGGUGAAAAUUGUCAUGUUAGGCUCCUUCCUGAUUCUGUCUUUAUUAGCAAAUCAUAGCCCAUGUUAUCUAAGUAACUACUUAAUGGUGUCCAGCCAUUCUGGGUGUGAUAAUCUGCUCAAGAUUAAUUUCAUGUAAUGAAGAUCUGAAACAAGGUGUUUAAGAGCCCCUCUAAUGUUUCAUUUAUGGCAAUUUAUCAAAACGGUAGAUAUUUAGCCUUUUUUUAUUGGGUAUGAAACAUUAACUUAAAACCAGUGCUGCUUUCUAUUUUAAAUACCAAUAUCCAUUACAUGUUUCUCACUGUAAGCAUCUUUGACCUCUGCCCUGCAUUUCAUCAAGCAUCAUGAAAAAUCAGCCACUAGCUCCCAGAGGACACCAUGUCAUGGACUUAGCCUCAGAUUAUGAUCUCCUGGCGCCUUGGGCAACUGACCCACCCUGGCCCUGACUCUGAUUGGGUCUUUGUAGAUAGUGAACAGCAUCCAUGAACAAAUAUCUAUUGGGUGAUAUAGUGCUGGAAAAUGAGCCCCUCAGGUUGGAAGGACUCAACAUUUGGGACAUUAGAUGCCACAAAGUGGACUUAACUUCAAUGAGUAUAAAAUGCUGGAAAACAGAUUUCCUAGCCCAAGGGGCAGCCUCAUUACUCCCAAGUUGGUAAUUACCUUUUUUCAGUUGUGAGCUAAUGAGCCUAGGAAAUCUGGGCUACUUAUCAUAUCAUCUUUCCAUUUUGGACAGUAUGAAAAAUGCAGAUUUUCAUCAAUUCCAAUGACUAGGAUGAGUCCAUUGCUUAGCCUCCAGUGGCUCCCUAUUGUCUAGGAGUUUGGCACUCAGGCCCUACAAUAAAUGUGAUACCCAUUUAGGAUUUGUUGAUGAAUUGAUAGAUGAAAGAAUAAACAAUUUCCACUUUUCUUUUUCAGUAUUGUUAUCCGCAUAACCCUAAUAUGUGCUGUGGUGACUUGUGUGUUGCUGUGAUGCUAGAAACUAUGCCAUCGACAUUUCAAAUACCAGCAGGCUCACACAUGGUGAACAGGUUUCAGUGGAGCCUUCAGACUAAGACAGACUAGGAAGAAGGACCUGGUGAUCUACUUCUUAAAAAACUGGCCAUUCGAAACCUUAUAAAUAGCAGCAGAACAUUGUCUGAUAUAGUGCCAGAAAAUGAGCCCCUCAGGUUGCAAGGACUCAACAGACGAUUGAGGAAGAGCUGCCUCCUCAAAGUAGAGUCAACCUUAAUGAUGUGAAUGGAAUAAAGCUUUUAGAAUCUACAUUUGCUGAUGUGGCAUGGCCCAAAAUCAGAAGAAACAGCUGCAAAUAUUAAUUAUUGGAACGUGGAAUGUACAAAGUAUGAAUCUAGGAAAAUUGGAAGCUGUCAGAAAUGAAAUGGAACACUUGAAGAGAGAUAUCUUAGUCAUUAGUGAGCUGAAAUGGACUAGUAUUGGCCGUUGUGAAUAUGACAAUUAUAUGGCCACUAUGCUGAGAAUAACAAAUGAAGAGGAAUAACAUUGUAUUCAUCAUCAAAAAAAAAACAUUUCAAGGUCUGUCCUGAAGUACAGUGCUGUCAGUGAUAGGAUAAUACUCAUAUGCUUACGAGGAAGACCAGUUAAUAUGAUGAUUAUUCAAACUUACGUACCAACCCCUAAUGCCACAGAUGAAGGAAUUUAAGAUUUUUACCAAUUGCUGCAGUCUGAAAUUGAUCAAACAUGGAAUCAGGAUGCAUUGAUAAUUACUGGUAAUUGGAAUUUGAAAGUUGGAAACAAAUUGGAAAACAUGGCCUUGGUGAUAGAAAUGACACUGGAGAUCUCGUGGUAGAAUUUUGUAAGCCCAACGACCUAGUCAUUGGAAAUAUAAUUUUUCAACAACAUAAAUGGUGAUUAUAUACCUGGACCUUGCCGGAUGGAAUACAGAGAAAUCAAGGUGACUAUAGCUGUGGAAGCAGACAGUAGAGAAGCUCAAUAUGAUCAGUCAGAACAAGGACAGGGCCUGACUAUGAAAAAGACCAUCAAUUGUUCCUAUGAAAGUUCAGGCUGAAGCUGAAGAAAAUGAAAACAAGUCCACAAGAGCCAAAGUAUGGCCCUGAGUAUAGCCCACCUGCAUUUAGAGUACAUAUGAAGAAUAGAUUUGACACAUUGAACACUAAUGAGUGAAGACCAGACUGUUGUGAGAUGACAUCAAGGACAUCAUACUUGAACAAAACAAAACAAAAACAAGAGGUUAUUAAAAAGAUAGGAAAGAAAGAAAAGACCAAAAUGGAUGUCAGAAGAGAUUCUGAAAAUUGCUUUUGAAUGUAGAGUAGCUAAAGUGAAACGAAGAAAUGAUGAAGUAAAAGAGCUGAACAAGAUAUUUCAAAGAGCGGCUCAGGAAGACAAAGUAAAGAAUUAAAAUGAAACCUUCAAAAACCUGGAGUUAGAAAACCAAAAGGGAAGGAUAUGCUUGGCAUUUGUCAAGCCGAAAGAGCUGAAGAAAAAUUUAAGCCUCAAGUUGCAGUAUUGAAGAUUUUAUGGGUAAAAUAUUAAUCAGUGCAGGAAACAUCAAAAGAAGAUGGAAAGAAUACACAGAGUCAGUGUUCCAAAAAUAAUUGGUCAAUAGUCAACCAUUUUAGGAGGUAGCAUGUGAUCGAGAACUGAUGGUGUUGAGGGAAGAAGGCUAAGCUGCACUGAAGGUAUUGGGAAAAGCAAGGCUCCAGGAAUUGAUGGAAUACCAAUUGAGACAUUUCAACAAAUGGAUGCAACUCUGGAAGGGCUCACUUGUCUAUGCCAAGAAAUUUGGAAGGCAACUACCUGGCCAGCAGGCUGGAAGAGACCCAUAUUCCCAUUCCAAAGAAAGGUGAUCCAACAAAAUACAGAAAUUAUCAAACAAUGUCAUUAAUGUCACACACAAGAAAAAUUUUGCUGAAGAUAAUUAAAAAAACAUUUGCCCCAGUACAUUGACAGGCAACUGCCAGAAAUUCAAGCCAGAUUCAGAAGAGGACGUGGAAUGAGGGAUAUCAUUAUUGAUAAUCAGAUGGCUCUUGGUUGAAAGCAGAGAAUACCAGAAAGAUGAAGAAAGAUGUUUACGUAUGCUUUAUUGACUAUGCAAAGGCAUUGGACUGUGUGGAUCAUAACAAAUUAGGGAUGACAUUGCAAAGAAUGGGAUUUCCAGAGCACUUAAUUGUGCUCAUGCAGAACCUAUACACAGACCAAGAGGCAGUCAUUCAGACAGAACAAGGGAUCUGUGUGGUUUAAAGUUAGGAAAGGUGUGCAUCAGGAUGGUGUCCUUUCACCAUACUUAUUUAAUCUGUAUGCUGAACAAAUAACCCGAUCCAAGAAGCUGGAGUAUUUGAAGAAGAACAUCAUCAGGCUUGGAGGAAGACUGAUUAACAACCUGCACUAUGCAGAUGAUACAAACUUAAAGGGGGCUUGAAGUACUUCUUGAUGAAUGUCAAAGACUACAGCCUUUGGUAUGGAUUACAUCUCAACAUAAAGAAAACAAAACUCAUGACUGGACCAAUAACAGCAUGAUGAUAAAUGGAGAAAAUAUUGAAGUUGUUAAGGAUUUCAUUUUACUUGGAUCCACAGUCAAUGCCCAUGGAAGCAGUAGUCAAGAAAUCGAACAAUGUGUUGCAUUGGGCAAAUCUGCUGCAAAAGAUUCCUUUGAAAUGUUAAUAAGCAAAGACAUCACUUUGAGAACUAAGGUGUGCCUUACCGAAGGCAUGGUAUUUUUAAUUGCCUCAUAUGCUUGCAAAAGCUGGACGAUAUAAUAAGACUGAAGAAGAAUUGAUGCCUUUGAAGUAUGAUGUUGGCAGAGAAUAUCGAAUAUACUGUGGACUGCCGGAAGAACGAACAAACCUGUCUUGGAAGAAAAUACAGCCAGAAUGUUCCUUAGAAGUGAGGGUGGAGAGACUUCGUUUCACAUAUUUUGGACGUGUUUUCAGGAGGGACCAGUCCCUGGAGAAGGACAUCAUGCUUGGUAAAGUAGAGGGUCAGUGAAAAAGAAGGCCGCUCUCAAUUGACACAGGGACUGCAAUGGUGGGCUUAAGCAUAACGACGAUUGUGAGGAUUGGGCAGUGUUUUGUUCUGUUGUUCAUAAGGUCACUAUGAAUCCAAGUCGACUCAAUGGCACCUAAUAACAACCACCGUCACCCACAACUGCCUCGUGUUAUUUUUUUUUCUCAUCCUCAAGUUUGGUAAUAUAUUUGUGUGUUACUCAUUGUUUUUUGUUUUCCCAUGUGGAAUACAUUCUUUAUAAUUUUUUCUGACCCAGAUGGUACCUAUCUUUCAUGGUCUGGCUGAACACUAAUAUCUUCUUGACCCAUAUGCUUUGCAGUAUUUUUCCAUUCUUAAUCACUAUCCAUUAGAGAAACACAAUUCAAAACUGCAGUGAGAUACCCUGACAUUACUGGCACUAAAAAAACAAAAAACAAAAACAAAAAUGGAAAAUAACAAAUGUUAGAGAGGUUGCAGGGAGAUUGGAACUCUUGUGCACUGCUGGUGGAAAUGCAAAAUGGUACAACCAUUUUGGAAAAUGAUAUGGCACUCCCUUAAAAAGCUAGAAAUAGAAAUACCGUAUAAUCUAGCAAUCCCACCCUUGGGAAUAUAUCCUAGAGAAAUAACAGCUGUCACAUGAAUAGACGUAUGUACACCCAUCCCAUGUUCAUUGUAACAUUAUUCACAAUAGCAAAAAGGUGGAAGCAGCCUAAGUGCGCAUCAACAGAUUAAUGUAUAAACAGACUAUGGUAUAUAUGCACAAUGGAAAAGGUUUACACACAGAAACAAUCUUUGAUGGUUAUAAGGGAGGGGAUUGGUAGGGAGGGAAAAACACUAACUAGAGAGUAAAUAAGUGGUAACUUUGGUGAAGGGUAAGACAGUAUGCAAUACUGAGAAGGCCAGCACAACUUGACCAAGGCAAAAUCACAGACCUUCACGGAAACAUCCUAACUCCCUGAGGGACUGAGUUACUGGGCUGAGGGUUGGGGACUGUGGUCAGUGAGAACAUCUAGCUCAAUUGGCAUAACAUAGGUUAUGAAAAUAAAAUGUUCUGCAUCUGACUGUGGCGAGUAACAUCUGGGAUCUUAAAAGCCUGUGAGCAGCCAUGUAAUAUAUGUCUACUGGUUACAUCCCGGCUGGAGCAAAGGAGAAUGAAGAAAACCAAAGACUCAAGGGAAAAAUUAGUCCAAAGGACUAAUGGACCACAACUACCACAGUCUCCACCAUACUGAGCCCAGAACAACUAGAUGCUGCUGGCUAAAACCACUGACUGCUCUGACAGGGAUUACAAUAGAGAAUAUUGGACAGAAUGGGAGAAAAAUAUACAACAGAAUUCAAAUUCACACACACAUACACGGAAAGACCAGACUUGCUGGUUUGUCUGACAGACUGGAGAAACUCCAAGAGUAUAGCCCCCAGGCACCCUUUUAAUUUAGUACUGAAGUCACUCUCCAGAUUCACCCGUCAGCCAAAGAUUAGAGAAACCUGUAGGGCAAACAGUAACACACAUGAGAAUUGUUCUUUGUAGUUCAGUUAUGUUUAUGGGACUAAAUGGGCCUAUCAGCCCAAAAGCAAACACGAGAAGGCAGGAAGGGGCAGGAAAACUGGACGAAUGGAAACGGGGAACCCAGCGUGGAGAAGGGGAGAAUGUUGACACAUCAUGGGGUUGGCAGCUGAUGUCACAAAACAAUUUGUGUAUUAAUUGUUUAAUGUGAAACUAAUUUGCUCUGUAAACUUUCACCUAAAGCACAACUAAAAAAAAAAGUUUUCCAUUCUUCUCUAAAUUCAUAACCAUUAAAGUUUGAAUAUACAUCCAAUGCUUGAACAUAAAAUUUCUCUAGGUAGUUUCAUCUACAUAUAACUGGUUUUUCUUUUAGAUUACAAUAUCUUCAAGAGCAGGGAUUUAUGCUGUGUAUAUCUCUUUUACAACACACACCCUUUUCUUGGGCACAGAGAAUAUACAGAGUCCAGUGCCUUGACAUGGUCUACAAAAGAUGAAUCUUAAAUUGGACUUGUCAGUUACGUUGUAUAAAAAAGGCACCAGAAUCACACAGUGAUUGAUUUUGCAAUAUGUAAAUCUCAAUGUAAUUUUUGUGCUCACCUGGGGAAUGUGACCAUGCAGACCCCAUCAGAUUUGUCUGUGCUAUCUCUGAGGACCAUCUUACUCACCAGGUUGCUGUCUGCAGCUCCCUGUGAUGGUACCUUUCGAUCCAGAGACUUGAGUAGCUCCCCUGUUUUCUUGCUCCAUUUUAUGCUUGAUGGUUCAGUGUUUCGUUUUCUGCUUCUCUGUUACACUACCUUGUGUGCCCUUAGUUGGGACACCUUAAUUGGGGAGCUCCUGCUGUUUGAGUCAGGAGAUGGAGUCCUACUGCCUUCCCUCUCCUGUGGGCAGGUGCAUGGGAGCUCUUGGGCUAGAGACAUCAGCCUGGCAGUACAUGCAGUGCUUUCUCCAUUACCUCUUCGCACUCACCUAAGUCUUAUCUCAGAAGGCCUUGGAGUCUUGUUUGGCUAGAAAUCUUUUUGGUGGUUGGUGUUCUUGUUUGGAUUCCAGUCCAUCCCUUUUCAUUUUCAGGACAUGCUUACAUAGUUGAUUUGUGUGCCAGGCCUUUGAUUUCUUUUCGUCUCCUUCCCCACCCCACCCCCUGUAAUGCGUGGAUAUUGUUGUUGUCAGAAUUGGAAGCCAGAAACAUUUAAGGGCCCACUGACUUGACUCUUUUUUUAAAAAUUUUAUCUUUUUUUAAAUUUGCAAGUAAUACUGGAAUAGAACACUUUUAUUAUAAAAGACACAGGUAAUAGAGAUGUGAACCAAAGUGUAAAGGUCUCUGUAUUAACUAGCAUAUAAUAACGCAAAAUAAAACCCAGUGCAUAUACUAGAAAACCAAAAUAAUAGGAGUUAAUAUAGUUUUCUUUCACAUAAAAGAAGCUCAAGGUAGGUGGGCCAAAGCUCUUAUAUUAGCUUCAUGAGGCCAGCAGAGACUAGGUCUUCUCCUAUUUUUCUGCACCUUCUGUCUUCCUGCACCACCAUCCUUAGCACAUGGUUUUCAUUUAUUAAGUCACUUCCUGGUUCAAGAUAGCUGCUGGAGCUCCAGUCAUAUCAUCCAAGUUCCAGGCAGGAAGGAGGGGGAAGGGAAGAGGGAAAGCUAAAGCACAGGAUUAUUGUUGGUCUCACUUUUAAGGAGCUUUCCUAGAAAUCCUACUGAGCAAGUUUAUUUACAUCUUAUUGCUCCCCCUUAACCAGGGGUGUACUGGAGCCACUCAUUCCAGGUUGUGAGAGCCAAGUGUUACCUGUUCAGGAAUUUUUGUGAGCCAGGUGACAUUACUUUGGAAACUUGAAAUUAGCCAUAGUGGGAGAAUUUACACCAUGUAAAUCGGCAAGCAUUCAAGCAUUAGAAAUCAGAGUUCUGUCCCCUUACCCUCUACUUCAGAGAGCUAGUUGUUUUACAUUUACCAGCACAUAACACUAACCUAGCUGCAGGGAAGUCUUUUAGCUGGUUGCAUUGACACCCAGAAUAAAAUCAGGGUUCUCUUACUAAAAAAAAAGUGAAAAUGGAUAAUAGGAAAGCAAGGCCAGGUUUCCCCCACUUGGUAUUUCAUAGAAUGGGUGUAUUUCCCCCAUUUAGCUUGCUUACUCUUUAUUCCAAAUUAUCCAGCAGCACACACGGUUUUUACAGUACAUUUCUGCACGUGAGCUAGUGUUUGUGGAGGAUUGAUCCUUCAAGGUAGACUUCCUAGAUUGAAGGGUAUGCCCACUGCAUGACUUUGUACAAAGAGCACUCAGCAGAUGGAUGUCUGUUUCCUCCUAAUGUAGCAGAGUGAUGAUAAACAUGGAUUUUAGAACCAGGCACACUGGGUAUGAAUACUUGUUCUCACACAUCCUAGCUGUGUGACUUUGGCCAAGUUGCCUAACCUUUCUAAGCCUCCAUUUCUUUUUCUGUAAAAUGGGCAUGAUGCUGUCUGCAUCUGUAGGAGUUCUUUGACGAUGAAAUGAAAUUGUGAAUUUGAAGUGCUUACAGAAGUGCCUGGCAUGCGUAAACACAUAGUAAAUAGCAACCAGGGCUUCUGCCUAUUGAGAGGUGUGCUCAUAGAGAGGUACAGUCUCUACAGGGAGAAGAAUAAAAACAUGAAACAGAGCCUUGAAUGUUAAGUAUAGGGUCCAUGUGAGUUAGCGAGGUGAGCGUCAGAUAGAAAAACAGUGGAUGUUUAAUGUACGGACUUGAAAAUUAUUCCACUGACCCCAGAGGCAGGUGUACAGGCUAAUUUAUAGUUAUAAAAACCUCAGAAUAAGUCAAGCAUGUCUCCAGUUCCUAAGUGCGUAUUAUAAAUAUAUUUAAAAUCAUUUUUACAGCUACUGCGUUACAUUUCUUUAGCACAUUAGAAGCUUGAGUUGUGGAACUGGACCAAAAAUCAACAUAAAUAUUCUUUUUCUCACCCAACUAUAUUAAACAUUGCACAGAUGUGUAGUUAAGUAUUUAUUAUGAACAUGCAAAUAUUGAUGUCCCCAAGGCCCAUGCUUUGAUUUUCAAACUGCUGUUGCUGUAUUUGGCAUUGUUGAUUAACACAGGUCUUUGCUCUGACACAUAGCAUGCCUGACUUCAGGGCUACUGAGAAUCGCAUCAAGAAGAAAGGAAGAAGCCAAGGCUUGAUAUUCAUAGAGGUGGACAGUAUUUGAGGAUGGGAGCUCCUUUAGGAAAAUGGCAGCAGGCAGCCAAAUAUAUAAGUUGGUUAAAGAUGUGCCUAGCACAGAGCUGUGCACAUGGUAGGGUCUCAGUAAAUCUUUUCUCAUUUAGCUAAAGAGUCAGAAGCUAGGGAGAACAAACAACCGUAAUGAAAAAGUUAUUUUCACACUGGUCUAGCACAAGAUUUCACAAUCUUGGCACUAUUAAUAUUUUGGGCUAGAGAAUUCGUUGUCAUGGAGGGCUGUCCUAGGCAUUGUAGGAUGUUUAGCAGCAUCCCUCUUUACCCACUAAAUGCCAGUAACACCCCCUCCCCCAUUCGUGACCACCAAAGAUGGAUCCAGGCAUUGCUAAAUGUCCCCUGGGGGGCAGAAUCACCCCAGUGGAGAAGCACAGGUCUAGAAGAAAGUGAAUAUGUAUGUAAACAACAAGUAUGUGCCAGACAUAUUUAACUCAUUUAAUCCUCACAACAAUCCUAUAUUGUAGGUGUUGCUGAAAUCACUUUUGCAGGAAGGAGAAGUGGGAUUCAAAGAGGUGAAGAACAUGGAGUAAGGUUAGACAGAUGGAGUCUGAUUUCAAAUGUGACAUUCUUGGCGGCCGGGGUGGGGGGGCGGACAGGAAAGCUGGUAAUAGGGAACCCAAGGUCAAGAAGGGAGAGUGUAGAGAAAAACAAAACAAACAUGACGUUCUUUCCCUCAUACUCUUCUCCCUUUCACAGAAUCUGACUUAAACAUCAAGUACCAUAAGGACUCAUGGUGUUGCCUGUCUUAGUACUGAACACUCAGACUUGACUUUCUUAUGAAAAUGCUGCCAAGUGCACUGUUUGCAGAGACUCGUGGACAGCUUACGUUUUGGUCAUUGAUUAGAUUUGGUUUAUGUUUUGCAGAGAACAUCAACGGCAAGAAUGUCGACGGGGCUAACUCUCUGUAGAGGGCCGUUGAGAAACAAAGGAAUGUGUAGUCUAAGGGUGUCCAGAGAGACCUCAGAGUAGGCCUAAGGGGACUUGCUUUCAGAAAGGAACAGUUGAAGAGCUGUGAUAUCUUCUGUAGAGAAAGGGCCUUUGCUACAAUGGUUCUCGUGGAUACUUAGUAAACUAAAGAGAUUUUUUUCUGGGGAGCUUUCAGGCCAGUUGUUUGCCAAUCUGAUUCUCUUGUAGUUAAUUUAGCAGGUGUCAAACCCUGGUUCCAGCGGAAGGGACUACAUCUCAAGCAAGAGGUGCUGAUUCUGUGAGGAGCUUCGUGGGUGGGGGCAGGGACUCCUGCUUUCUGCCAUGCCCUAAACACUGGCCCUUAGAGGAGAAUUUUGGGGUGUGUUACUAUGUAAUUGUUAGAAAUACAUAGUAAUACAAUUAUUACCUCCAGUAGCCACAUGCUGCAGUGCUCUAGACUGCUUUCUUAACAGAGUCAGAGCAGGACUGGGGGAGGGGCCCGGAAACUAAGGGAUACAAGUAUUGUUAAUUUUCUUCCCCCUCCUCCUUUUAUAUCAUCAGAGAAUAUAAACCAAUAAAAGAACUAAAUGUUGGCAAUCUAUAAAAUUCCAUAAGUGGUAAUAAAGAAAAACUGAAACUAUAUUGAUAUACAACCAAACAAGGUAAUUAUCAUUAUUUUUUAAUAAAACCAUUUAUCAUCAAUAAAUACCAAGGGGAACAGGAAAAAUUACAAGUAGAACAAUGCCAUCUUCAUAAUUAUAGCUAUUAACAAUUUAAAGCAUAAUUAUGUGAGGCAGAAAAACUUUUAGGAAAGGUUUGUGCAGGCUUCUGCACAGAAAAGUCAAAUCUUCACAUUUCCAAAUAUUCAGGGUCCUUUAAAUGUUCCUGAAUAAGUGGGUGACUGCUUGUCAGAACUAAGAGUAGCUCGUUUUCUAGUGAUCUUUAGUUCGGACACUUCCUGCGUCUCCACUUUCAAAUUGGCUGGCAGCCCUGGAGGAAGGGCUGGGAUCCAGAAAAUGGUAUAUAUGCAAAAUAUCUGUCCACUUUCUAAAUAUCACUAGUCAAGAGAACGUCACUAGCAGAAAGGCUGGUUUUGAGAACCCAGGGUCUCAUUGAUUUCGUCUGAACAAACCCUGAUUAAGCAGCGGCUCUUGCCUAAUUAUUGUAUGUUCUAGGCCCUGGGGAUACAGAAAGCAAUGAGUUGGGUUUUUGUUUGUUUGUUUUAUUUGUGAUUGAGCACCUUGCACUCUCAAAGGGAGACAGACCUGAGUGUUCUCUGUAUUGAGGGGCAGAACAGCAGGGUGGUGAAGAGUAUGCCUCAGAGCCUACCAGCCAUCCUGGGUUCAAAUCCCACUUUUGCCACUAACCAGCUGUGCGAGGUUGCACAAAUUAAUUAACACCUCUAUGCCUCAGUCUCCAUAUUUGUGAAAGAGGUGCUAUUAGUAUCUGCCUGGUGGCUUAGUAGUUAAGCACUUGGCUGCUAAGCAAAAGAUCGGCAGUUCAAAUCCACCGGGCUGCUCCUUGGAAACCCUACGGGGUGGUUCUUCUCCAUCCUCUAGGAUCACUAUGAGUUGGAAUUGACUCAAUGGCAAUGGUUUUGGUUUUUUAGGUUGUUGUGUGUAUUAAGUGCUUAGAGAAGUACCUGGUACCUGGUGAAUACUGUCUAAGUUAGCCCGCCGUUUAGCUUGAUGGGGUAAGUACUGCCAUAACGUCUGGAUCUGGUGCAAUAGCAAUACAGUUCUUUCUGACUGGUGGUCACAGAAGACUCUGGGGACAAGAUAAUGACUGUGCUGAAUCUUAAGGGUGAACAUAAGGGGAGAGGGUAUUCUACACUGUGGAAACUGCAUGAACAAAAGUGUGGAAUCCAGAACAAGUAUAGGGUGCCUUGGUCAUUAUAAGCUGUAUUCUAUCUUAUUAGAGCAUGGCGAGGUUGAAAUGGUGGUAGAGAGUGAUGAGGCCUCAGAGAUUGGAAAGGUUAGGUCAUAGAGUCUUGAGGGCAGGUGGCUGCUGAAGGCUAUUAAAUGUGAAGGUGAUGUUAAGUCAGGUUUGCAGCCUAACACCAUUUUCAGGCAGCCAGCAAUGAGGGGCCUUGGUAGCACAGUGGUUAAGCGUUCACAUGCCAACCAAAAGGUCAGCUGUUCGAAUCCACCAACUGCUCCUUGGAAACCCUGUGGGAGCAGUUCUACUCUGUCCUAUAGGGUCACUAUGAAUCGAAAUCGACUUGACAGUACGGCCCCGUAUGGUCACUGAGUCGGAAUCGACUUGAUGGCAGUGGGUUUGGUUUUGAUGUGUACAUUGCAGGUAAACGCGUGGACUGAUUGAUUCUCAGUUUAGUUGUUGUAGUCAUUAGUGCCGUUUGGAAGAUUUUGCAGUUCUUCCCCGCGCCCAGGCAUGUGGAUGCACAAAUGGAACCCUGGAGCAGAUGGGCCGUAUGGGUAGUUCUGGCCCAGGGCUUGUAAGGAAAAGUAGUGUUACUUCGGAGCCAGAUCACGUAAUUUCUGGUGCAGGAUCCUUCAGAGCUUGCUGUUUUCUCUUUGUUUCAGUGAGCGACAGCAUUCCAGAGACAGUUUGCCCCAUCAGCCAGUUCCCACAAGGAGGAUGACAUGGAGCAGAAUUUCCACCUGAGUCUUGACUAACAGGGAGCCUAAAUGAGAAAUAAACCUCUAUUACUAUAAGCCAGAGAGAUUAGCAAACUUCUUCUGGACAGGAGGAGAUAGAAAAAAGUUCAGGCUUUUAGUUUGUGAGCUGUAUGGUCUGUGUCGCACCUAUUCAACUCUGCCCUUGCAGUGUGAAAGCAGCCAUAGACAACAUGUAAACGUUGGGUGUGGCUAUGUUCUUGUAGAGCCUUAUUAACAGAAAGAGGCAGCAGGCUGAAUUUGGCUGACAGGCUGUAGAUUGCCGACUCCUGCCUGAGACGCUAAGGCUUGGGGCUUGUUUAUUAUCACAGCAUAAUGUAGUUUGUUCCGACUGAUACUCUGCUCUGCCUUUUUUUUUUUUUUUUAAUUGGGGGAAAAUUUACAUGGCAUGAAAUGCAGAGACCUUAUGUGUGCUAGCCAGUGCGUUUUCAUCAAUGUAUACCGUGUGUAACCACUGCCCCAAUCAAGAUGUAGAACAUUUUCAUCAUUUCAGAAACUUCUUUUGUUCCUUUACAGUAAUUUCCACUUUCUGCCGGCAACCCCUCUUCCAUUCUUGGAGUUUGUAUAAACAGAAUCGUAUAAUACGUACUCCUUUGUGUCUAUUUUGUUUUAUUCCACACAGUAUAGUGUUAUCAGAAGUCUGUUCCAUUGUAUGAAUAUCCAACAAUUGUUUAUCCAUUUUCUGGUUGUUGGAAGUUUGGGAAUUUGGUAGUUUUUGCCUGUUAUGAGUAAAACUACAAUGAGCAUUCAUGUGAAACUCUUUGUGUCUAUCUGGAUUUUUAUUGCUUUUGGAUAACUACCCGUAUUUUUAUGUAAAUAACACACACCUUCUACAUUUGUUUGCCAGCUGUGUCCUUCUCCUGCAAGGUAUUUUCAUAAGCAUGCUAUGCUAUUUUUUUUUUUUUACAACAACAUGUGAAAAAAAAUCAGCAUAGUGGUUCUUAUGAAAAUAGCUGGUGAAGGGAGGGCGGGUUGGCAAACAAAAGUAGAAGAUGCAUGUUACUUGCAAAAAAUACUGUACCUAGGGUUGGAAUCACUGAGCCGUGGGGUGGGUAUAGGUUUAAAUUUAUGGAAGCUGCCAAACAGCUUUCUAGUGUGAUGAUACUGUUUACACUCUUAGUGGCAAUUUUUGAGAAUUCCAGUUACUCAACAUUCUAUCCAAUAUUUUGUGUUCUCAGUCUUGUAAAUUUUAUUUAUUCUAGUAGGUGUGAGAGUCCAUGGCUUGUGCAGUUAAGCGCUUGACUAUUAGCCAAAAAUUUGGCAUUUUGAACCCACCCAGAGGCACCUUGAAAGACAGGCUCAGCGAUCUGCUUCCUAAAAGUCAGUCUUGAAAACCCUACGAAGCAGUUCUGCUGUGCAUAUAUGGGGCCACCAUGAGUCAGAGUGGAUUUGAUGGCAACCAACAGCAAUGGUAGGUGUGAAGUGGUAUUUCAUUUGGUUUUAAUAUGCAUUUUCCUGAUGGUUAAUGAUGCUGAACAUAUUUUAAUGAGUUUACUGGCUAGUUGUAUAUCUUCUUUUGUGAAAGGUCUGUUCAAGUAUUUUGCCCACCUAAAAAAAUUGAGUAAUUUGUCUCUUUGCUGUUAAUUUGUGGGCAUAUUUUAUAUACUCUGGUUACAAGUUCUUUGUCAGAUAGCUAUAUAUCCACACCUGUAUCUGUCUAAAAUAUUUCUUCCAGUCUUUAGGUUGCAGUUUCACUUCAUUAAGGGUGCUUUUUGAUGAGCGAAAGUUUUUAUUUUGAUAAAUACAAAUUUAUGCAUUUUUUUUUUCUUUUUUGAUUGGUGCUUUUUGUGUUCUGUUUGAGAAAUCUUUGUUGUCUUCAAGAUUUUGAAGAUAUCUUUCUGUGUUUUCUUUUAGAAGCUUUAGAGUUUUGACUUUUAUGUUGAGGUUUUUGAUCCAUCUUGAAUUAAUUUUCAUGUACGUAGGUUAAGAAUUGAAAUACAUUGUUUUCAUGUAUUUAUCUGGUUGUUCCAGCACCAUUUGUUCUUUUCAACUAUACUUUUGCCAUUUAACCACCUUAGAACCUUUGUCAAAAGUCACUUGGCCAUUAAUAUAUAGGUCUAUUUCUAGAUUAUCUGUUCUUUUUUAUUGAUCUGUUUUUCUGUUCUUAUGCUAAUACCAUACUGUGUUAACUACUGUAGAUUUACAGUAAAUCUUGAAACCAGUGAGUGUGAGUCCUCCAAAUUUGUACUUCUUUUUCAAGAGUCUUUGGUCUCUUCUAGAGCCCUUGUUUUUUCAUAUAAAUUUCAGAAUCAAUUUUUCAAUUAAAAAAAUAGCCUGUGGAGUGUUGAUUGGCAUUGCAUUGAAUCUAUAGAUCAAUUUGGGGGGAAUUGACAUCUUAGCAAUAUUGUCUCACAGUCUAUCAGAAGGAGGCUCUGGGUGGUGCAAAUGGUGAAGUGCUUAACUAUUAGCUGAAAGGUUGGUGUUUCAAAGCCAUCCAGAGGUGCCUUAGAAAGUACGACUGGUGAUCUGCUUCUGGAAGGCCGUAACCUCGGAAACCCUGUGGGGUCGCCAUUGACUCAAUGGCACAUAUCUAUUUUUCUCUUUUUUCUAUUAAUAUGGUGAACAAAAUUGAUUGAUUUUCAAAUGUUAAACUCACCUUGCAUUCCUGGGAUAAGCAUCACUUGAUCAUGGUGUAUUAUCCUUUUUAUAUAUUUGUAAAUUUAAUCUGCUAGUAUUUUAUUAGGAGUUUUUGAAUCUAUGUUAAUGACGGAAAUAGUUGUAUAAUUUUAUUUUCUUGUAAUGCACUUGUCAGAUUUCGUUAUAAAGGUUAUGCUGGCCUCAAAAUGAGUUUGGAAGUGUUUCUGCCUCCUUUGUUUUCUGAAAGAGUUUGUAUAAUAAUUGGUAUUUUUUUCCUUAAAUUUUUGGUAGAAUUCACCAGUGAAACCCUUUGGGCCCAUAGAUUUUCUUUUAGGGAGAGUUUUCAUUAUAAAUUUAAUUCUUUAGUAGAUGUAGGAUUAUUAAAAUUUCCUAUUUCUCCUUCAGUUUUGUUAAGCUGUGUUUUUCAAUGAACUUGUCUAUUUCAUCUAAAUUGUUGAGUUUAUUGGCAUAAAGUUAUGCACAAUAUUCUCUAAUAUCCUCCUAUUUAUCUGUAAAGGCUUUAGUAAUAACCCUCUUUCAUUCCCGAAUAGUUAUUUUUCUCUUUUGUCAUGAUCAGUCCUUCUAGGAUUUAUCAAAAUUUUUAGAAAAUUUGUUGAGAUAUAAUUUACAGUCCAUAAAAAUUAUCUGUUUUUAAUUAUAGAGUUCAAGAAUAUUUACUAAAUUUACAAAAUUGUACAACAAUCACCCCAAUCUAAUAUUAGAACUUUGCCAUCAACACCCAAAAAUUUCUCAUGCCCAUUUGUAGUCUCUCCCUGUUCCCACUCCCAGCCCUCGGUAGCCAAUGAAUCAGUUUCUGUUUCUAUUGAUUUGCCUUUCCUAAACAUUUCAUAUGAAAGGAAUCAUACUGUAUGUGGUCUUUGUUUCUGGGUUCUUUCAUUUAGUGUCAUAUUUUUGAGGCUUAUCUGUGUUGUGGCAUGUAUCAAUCCUCCAUUCUUUUUUAGUUACUCAACACUACUCCAUUUCCAGCUGGAAAUGGAAAACCAAAAGGGAGAAACACACUCAGUGUUUCUCAAGCUGAAAGAACUGAAGAAAUAAUUCAAGCCUCAAGUUGCAAUAGUGAAGGAUUCUAUGGGAAAAAUAUUAAAUGACACAGGAAGCAUCAAAAGACGAUGGAAGAAAUACAGAGUCAUUAUACCAAAGAGAAUUGGUUAAUGUUCAACCAUUUCAAGAGGUAGCAUAUGAGCAGGAACUGAUGGUACUGAAGAAGAAGUCCAAGCUGCACUGAAGGCAUUGGCAAAAAAUAAGGCUCCAGGAAUUGAUGGACUACCGAUUGAGAUGUUUCAACAAAUGAAUACAGCACUGGAGGUGCUCACUCGUCUAUGCCAAGAAAUUUCGAAGACAGGUACCUGGCCAACCGACUGGAAGAGAUCCAUAUUUAUGCCUAUUCCCAAGAAAGUUGAUCCAACUGAAUGCGGAAAUUAUUGAACAGUAUCAUUAGUAUCACACACAAGUAAAAUUUUGCUGAAGAUCAUUCAAAAGUGGCUGCACCAGUAUAUUGACAGGGAACUGCCAGAAGUUCAGGCUGGUUUCAGGAGAGGACGUGGAACCAGGGAUAUCAUUGCUGAUGUCAGAUGGAUCCUGGCCGAAAGCUGAGAAUACCAGAAGGAUGUUUACCUGUGUUUUAUUGACUAUGCAAAGGCAUUCGACUGUGUGGAUCAUAACAAAUUAUGAAUAAUGUUGCAAAGAAUGGGAAUUCCAGAACACUUAAUUGUGCUCAUGAGGAACCUUUACAUAGAUCAAGAGGCAGUUGUUCAGACAGAACAAGGGGAUACUGAUUGGUUUAAAGUCAGAAAAGGUGUGUGCCAGGGUUGUAUUCUUUCACCAUAUCUAUUCAAUCUGUAUGGUGAGCAAAUAAUCCAAGAAGCUGGACUAUAUGAAGAAGAAUGGGGCCUUAGGAUUGGAGGAAGACUCAUUAACAACCUGCGUUAUGCAGAUGACACAACCUUGCUUGCUGAAAGUGAAAAUGACUUGAAGCGCUUAUUAAUGAAGAUUAAAGACCACAGCCUUCAGUAUGGAUUGCACCUCAACAUAAAGAAAGCAAAAAUCCUCACAACUGGACCAAUGAGCAAAAUCGUGAUAAAUGGAGAAAAGAUUGAAGUUGUCAAAGAUUUCAUUUACUUGGAUCCACAAUCAACAGCCAUGGAAGCAGCAGUCAAGAAAUCAAAAGACGCAUUGCAUCGGGUAAAUCUGCUGCAAAGGACCUCUUUAAAGUGCUGAAGAGCAAAGAUGUCACCUUGAAGACUAAGGUGCACCUGACCCAAGCCAUGGUAUUUUCCAUCACAUCAUAUGCAUGUGAAAGCUGGACAGUGAAUAAGGAAGACUGAAGGAGAGCUGAUGCCUUUGAAUUGUGGUGUUGGUGAAGAAGAAUAUACCAUGGACUGCCAGAAGAACGAAUAAAUCUGUCUUGGAAGAAGUACAACAAGAAUGCUUCUUAGAAGCAAGGAUGGCGAGACUGCAUCUUACAUACUUUGGACAUGUUGUCAGGAGGGAUCAGUCUCUGGAGACGGAAAUCAUGCUUGGCAAAGUAUAGGCUCAGCAGAAAAGAGGAAGAUCCUCAAUGAGGUAGAUUGGCACAGUGGCUGCAACAAUGGGCUCGAGAAUAACACCGAUUGUGAGGAUGGCGCAGGACCAGGCAGUGUUUUGUUCUGUUGUGCAUAGGGUUGCUAUGAGUCGGAACCGACUCGACGGCAUGGAACAACAACAACUCCAUUGUAUGGCUAUACUACAUUUUAUAUAUACAUUUACCAGUUGAUAGACAUUUAAGCUGUUUCUAGUUUGGGAAUACAGCCACUCGUCACUUAAUGUCAUGGCGAAGUUCCAAAGACAAGGUCGUUAUGCAAAAAUCAGCAUUAUGUGAAAUGGAGGAUGGCUACAUUAGGUAACACAGUAGAGGAUGAGCACAUCAUUACAUAACUGCCAAAUUGCAUCAUUACAUAGCUCCCAAAUCACUGAGAAUCACGGCCCAGCCAAGUUGACACAUAACCUUAACCAUCACAGUCAGCAUUACUCUCACCUUGCACCUUGGCAUUCAUUACUGCCAGACAUAUAGCGUUAAUGUGUGAAAGAGUCAGAUAGUAGAUUUUUUUACUAUUGUCUUAAAUAUGAAAUGUCAGAUAACAAGGUAGCCAAUAAGUGAGGAGUAGGGGUAUUAUCAGUAAUGCUACUAUCAAUAUUCAAGUAUAAGUCUUUGUGUGGAUGUAUGUUUUUAUUUUGUUUGGAUAGAUACCUAGAAGUGGAGUUGCUGGGUUGUAUGGUAUAUUUAUGUUUAACUUUUUGAGAAACUGCCAGACGGUUUUCUAAAGACACCAUUUUACAUUCUCACAUUAAUGCACGAGGGUUCCAGUUUCUCCACAUCGUCCCAACACUGGUUAUUGUCUGUCUUUUUGAUUGUAACCAUUCUAGUGGGUGGGGAGUGGUACCUCAUUUUGGUUUUAAUUUUCAUUUCCCUAAUGACUCAUGAUGUAGAACAUUUUUCAUGUACUUAUUGACCAUUUCUAUAUCUUCUUUGUAGAAACAUUGAUUCAGAUUCUUUGCUCAUUUUUAAAUCGAAUUGUCUUUUUAUUGAGUUGUGAUAGUUCCUUAUUAUAUUGUGGAUGCAAUUCCUUUAUUAGAUAUAUGAUUUGCAAAUAUUUUCUCCCCAUCUUUGGCUUGUCUUUUUACUUUUGUAAUGGUAUAUGUUGAAGUACACGAAUUUGUAAAUUGAUAAAAUCCAGUUUAUCAUUUUUUUCUCUUAUGGGUAAUACUUUAGUGUCAUAUAUAAGAAAUGUUUGCCUAACCCGAGGUCAUGAAGAUUUCCUCCAAAUUUAUCAAUUUUAUUGAUGAUUUUAUUAACUUUAUUGUUAGUCUGUUUCUAUUUCACUGCUUUUUCUUUUUUACUUACUUUGGAUUUAAUAUGCCAAUUUUUUUUUUUUUAGCUUACUAAUGUAAAAACAGAUAUUGGUUCUAAACUUUUCUUGUUUUCUAAUAUAAGCAUUUAAAUAUAUAAAUUGUGCCCUUAAGCAUUUGCUUUAGUUGCAUCCAUGGAUUAUGCUAUAUUGUGCUUUCAUUAAUAUGUCAUUCACAAUAUUUUCAAAAAUUUCUUUUGAUUUCUUCUUUGAUCCAUGGUUUUUAUAGGACUGUGUUGUUCAUUUUUCCAUUAUUAGGUAUUUUUUAGAUAUCUUAUUUUUAUUGAUUUCUAAUUUAAUACUGUUGUUCUCAAAGGAUAUACUAUUUAAGAUUUAAAUUGUUAGAAAUUUACUGAGACUUAUGGCAAGCAUAUGGUCUGUGUUUGUGAACAUACCUUGUGUGUGUGAAAACUGUAUAUUCUGCAACUGUUGGCUGUAGUAUUGUAUAAAUAUCAAUUAGAUUGAUUUGUUUGGUAGUGUUUUCAAAUAUACUAUAUUACUCGAUUUUCUUUUGUCAAGUUGUUUAGUUACUGAGAGAGGGAUAUUAAAUUCUCUUAACUAUAAUUUUAGAAUUGUUAAUUUCUCCUCUUAAAUCUGUAGUUUUUGCUUUGUUUUUAGAUGCACGCAAAUUUAUGAUUUUUACGUCUUCCUGAUGAUCUGAUCCUUUAAUUGCUACAGAAUGGCAUUCUUUAAAUCUCUGGUAAUAUUCUUUGUCUUGAAGUUUACUUUAUCUGAGUAUAGCUUUUUUUUUUAUACUAGCUUUCUUAUGCUUACAUUUUUCAGAGUAUAUUUUUCCAUUGUCUUACUUUCCACCUAUUUAUGUGUUUAUAUUACAAGUACAUCCUUUUAGAUAACCUUCAGUUGCAGCCUAGGUUUUUCAUUCAGUUUGGUGAUAUUUUUCUUUUAAUCAGAGUAUUUUGCCACUGACAUUUCAUAUAGUUAUUGAUAAGUUUGGGCUUUAGUUUAGCAUUUUGAAAGGUAUUUUAUGUUUUUUUUUUUUUUUUGAUCUGCUUUUAGUUUUCCUGUUCUUUUGGAUAAGUUGAAUAAUUUUUAGUGGUACAUUUUCAUUCCUCUUAUGGCUUUUUAGCAAUUUUUCUUUUAGUGUUUCCUCUAGACAUUAAAAUAUGCAUCCUUAACUUUCCACAGUCUACUCAGAGUUAAUAUUGUAACACUUCACAUAAAAUAUAACAUAAUAAACCCUGUGAUCAAUGUUAUAAUUUUUGUUUUAAGCUGUCAGUAUUUUUAAAGAGAUUAAGAAAAGAAAAAAGAUAAUCGUUUAUGUAAAUUUUUAUAUAAAUAUUUACCAUUUCAGAGACUCUUAAUUUUUUCCUGUAGAUCUAAGUUUUCAUCUGGUAACACUUCUAUUAUGCAGUAAGAGAAGCAUGACUUAAUAUAGUGAAGGAGAGGUGGUGAUAAAAAAAAAAAAAAGCCUCUCAGUGUUUGUUUAUCUGCAAAAGCCUUUAAUUUGCCUUCAGUGUUGAAGGAUUUUUUUGCUGCAUAUGGAAUUCUGAAUUGAUAGCUUACUUUUUCUUUCAGUGUGUUAAAGAUACCUUUCAAUCGACUUCUAGUAUUCAUUCUAAUGACAAGUCAGCCAUCAAUUGUUUUGUCAUUCCUUGAAUUUAAUAUGUCUUUGUUUUCUGGAUGCUUUUAAGAGUUUCUGUGUAUUUUUUUUUUAAUGUAUAUUCGUUUUUUCAGAGUGUAAAUUUGCUGAGCCCAGGUGUGGUUUUCUUUGUAUUUACCCUUCUUGAGUUCAAUAUGUUGUUUUUCUCAAAAUUUGAGGAAUAUUUGGCCUUUAUUUUUACAAAUACUCUUUCUGCCCCAUUCUUUUUUCUUUCCCUCUGGAACUCCAAUUAUACAUGUUAGACCACUUGAUGUUGUUCUACAGUUGAAUGAAGCUUUGAUUAUUUGUUUCAGUCUUUUUUCUCUGUCUUUCAGAAUUGAUAGCUAUGCUCUUGCUUUAAGUUGAAUAGCCCUUUUGUCCCCUGACAUAUCUAUUUACUUCAAGUUGAAUAGCCCUUUUGUCCCCUGACAUUUCCAUUUACUAUUAAGUGUAUUCAAUUAAUUUUUAAUUUCAGAUAUUUUACUUUUCAGUAAUAGAAUACCAUUUGGUUCUCAGUUAUAGUUUUCAAUUUCUGUUGAGAUCCUCACAUUUGUUUACUCAUUAUGACUUACUUUCUCUCAAGUCCUGGAAAAUAUUUAAAUAGCUGCUUUAGCAUCCUUGUUUGCUUAUUCAGACGUCUGUACCAUCUCAUGGUCUUUUUCUAUUGCUUGAAUUUCCUUUUGACUAUGGGUUACAUUUUUGUUUUUCUUCCCAUGUCUAGUAAUUUAAAAGAAUUUUUUUUUCAUGAAAUGGUGAUUAAUACAUUGUAGGGAUUCUGUUUCUUUCUUUUGAAACAUGUUGACUUUUGUUCUAGAUUGAUUUUUGCCAAUGGUUGCCUUGAACUUGAGGAAGCUUGUUUUCAUACCUUGUAAAGGCAACUCUGUUUCAAUUUUUCACUUGAUAUUUGUAAAAAUUCUUAAUCCUGAGGCAUAGUCUUUAGUCUUAAUGUGUGGCCCUUAAGAUUUUGAUUAAAAGCCCAAGGUAUUUACCAAAUUGCUUUAUUUACUCAGACUUAAAAAUCAAGACUCUUUUUCCUCUAUGAUGUAAGCUGUUUCAGCCUUCGAGGUGUUGCUUUGUAUCAGCCUAUGUUGCUUUGUAUCAUGUACAGUUCAGGAAUCAGCCAAGGAUUUUUAAAGUGUUAUAUGCAGAUUUGGUGUCUCUUAUGUCUGUCUCCAUCCUUUCUGGAAUUUUCCUUCAGAAUUUCUAUUUUCCAACCACUUUGACAAUGCUGAUCUCUAUCUUUUCCAGCCAUAAGAUUGCAGCUUUCUCCUUGAGUUCAAACUGUCCUGUGCAGUGCAGACCGAGGAGUGAUCUCAAGGAAAAGGCAUUUAGGCAUAGAUAUCACCACCGUGGUUCUUUUUUAAAAGAUCAUUGAAUAUCCUCCAUUUUACAUUGCCUUUGAUAGCUCUUCAGUGCCUUUAGUUAGUUGUUUUUUAAAAUAUUUUCCCAGUCCUUAAAAUUUUUAUCUGUAGGAGAGCUAGUCUAAUAUACCUACUCCAUUUUUCACCAGAACAGAAAUUCUCAGACAUAGCUUUCUCAUACUCCUCUUUAAGGCUGAAAAUGGGACUGGAAAUAAGAAUGUGCUCCUGGUAUUUUCUUCACUCUUGUUUUUCAUUGAUUUGGAAUAUUUAGAUUAUGUAAACUCUUUCCAAUAAGCAUGACUCUACACCUGGGUCCCUGCCUCACCUUAGCCCUACUUGUAUGGUGAAUGCCUUUCCAUAAGAAUGUCCGUCAUAGUUAUUGGGGAAAUCUUCAGAUGUUCUUACUGAAAAGCCUUGGAACUAAGUGGCCUAAUCUGUUACUAAAUUUAUCACUAAAGCAUGUUGUCCUUCUUCAGGGACUGGUCCCUCCUGAUAGCAUGUCCAAAGUAUGUGAGAUGAAGUCUCACCAUCCUCCCUUCCAAUGAGCACUCUGGCUGUACUUUUUUUUUUUUUAAUUGCACUUUAGAUGAAGGUUUACAGAACAAACUAGUUUCUCAUCAAACAGUUCGUAUACACAUUGUUGUAUGACAUUGGUUAACAACCCCACGACAUAUCAACACUCUCCUUUCUCAAGUCUGGGGUCACUACUGCCACCUUUCCUAUUCCCUCCUGCCUUCCAGUCCCUGCCACAGGGCUGGCACACCCCUUUAGUCUUGUUUUGUUCCAUGGGCCUGUUCAUUCUGGCUGAAGGGUGAACCUCAGGAGUGGCCUCAUUACUGAGCUGAAAGGGUGUCCAGGGGGCAUACUCUCAGGGUUUCUCCAUUGUCUGUCAGGCCAGCAAGUCUGGUUUUUCUUUUUGAGUUACAAUUUUGUUCUACGUUUUUCUCCAGGUCUGUCUGGGACCCUCUAUUGUGAUCCCUGUCACAGCAGUCAGUGGUGGUAACUGAGCACUAUGUAGUUGUACUGGAUUCAGUCAGGUGCAGGCUGUGGUCGGUGUGGUCCUUUACUCCUUUGGACUAAUCUUUCUCUUAUAUCUUUUUCUUCAUUCUUCUUGCUCCCAAAGGGGUGAGACCAGUGGAGUAUCCUAGACAGCUGCUCACAGGCUUUUAAGACCCCAGACACUGCUCACAAAAGUAGAAUGUAGAACAUAUUUUAUGCCAGUUGAGCUAGAUGUUUUCGGAGACCAUGGUCCCCACAGCCCUCAGCCCAGAAGUUUGGUCCCUUGGGGAGUUUGGAUGUGUCUAUGGAGCUACCAUGGGCUUGCCUUGUACAGGUUGUGCUGGCUUCCCCAGUAUUGUGUACUGUCUUACCUGUCACCAAAGUUACCACUUAUCUAUUGCCUAUUAUGUGUUUUUCCAUCCCCACCCCUCCUCUCCCUUGUAACUGUUAAAUGUUGUUUCUUUUUGUAUGUAAACCUUUUCAUGAGUUUUUACAGUAGUGGUCUCAUACAAUAUUUGUCCUUUCAUGAUUGACUUAUUUCACUCAGCAUAAUGUCCUCCAAAUACAUCCAUGCUAUGAGAUCCUUCACAGAUUCAUAGUUGUUCUUUAGCGUUGUGUAAUACUCCAUUGUGUGUAUGUACCACAUUUUGUUUAUCCAUUCAUCUGUUGAUGGGCAUCUAUGCUGUUUCCAUCUUUUUGCUAUUGUGAACAGUUUCACAGUGAACGUGGAUGUAUAUAUAUCUAUUUGUGCGACAACUAUUAUUUCUCUAGGAAAUAUUCCUAAAGAAAAAAAAUUCUUUUUUUUUCUUUAGGUUAGGAUUUUUGGAUCAAAUGGUAUUUCUAUUUCUAGCUUUCUAAGGAGGCACCAUAUUGUUUUUCAAAAAGAUUGUAUCAUUUUGCAUUUCCACCAGCAGUGCAUAAGAGCUCCAAUCUCCUCCAACAUUUAUUUUCCAUUUUAUUGAUUCAUGCCAGUAAUGCCGGGGUGAGAUGGUAUCUUAUUGUUGUUUUGGUUUGUACUUCUCUGAUGGCUGGAUAUCGUGAGUAUUUCCUCAUGUGUCUACUGCCUGCUUGAAUGUCUUGUUUGGUGAAGUGUCUGUUCAUUUCCAUUGCCCAUUUUUAAUUGGAUUAUUUGUCUUUUUGCUGUAGCUGUGUUGGAUUUUCUUGUGCAUUUUAGAGAUUAGAUCUUUGUCUGAUUUGUAAUAGCCAAAAUUUUUUUCCCAGUCUGUAGGUUCUCUUUUUCCCUUUUGGUGAAGUCUUUUGAUGAGCAUAAGUGUUUAAUAUUUAGAAGAUCCCACUUAUCUAGCUUAUCUGCUAGAGGUUGUGUGUUGUUGGUUGUGAUUUGUAUCCUGUUAAUGCCAUGUAUGAGGGCCUCUAGUGUUGAUCCUAUUUUUUCUUCUAUGAACUUCAUGGCUUUUGGCUUUAUAUUUAGGUCUUUGAUCCACUUUGAGUUUGUUUUUGUAUAUGGUGUGACGUAUGGGUCCUGUCUUGUUUUUCUGCAGAUGGACAUCUAGCUUUGCCAGCACCAUUUGUUAGAAAGACUGUCUUUUCCCCAUUUGAUGGACUUUGGGCACUUGUCGAAGAUCAGGUGACCGUAGGUGAAUGGAUUUACUUCUGGGUUCUCAAUUCUGUUCCAUUGGUCAGUGUGUCUGUCAUGUACCAGUACCAGGCUGUUUUGACUACCAUAGCUGUAUAGUAGGUUCUGAGGUCAGGUAGUGCGAGUCCUCCUACUUUAUUCUUCAGUAGAGUUUUACUUAUCUGGGGCUUGUUCCAUUUCCAUAUAAAGUUAACGAUAAGUUUUUCCAUCUCUUUAAAGAAUGUUGUUGGUAUUUGGAUCAGUAUUGCAUUGUAUUUGUAAAUCACUUUGGGUAGAAUUAUCAUUUUCACAAUGUUGGGUCUACCUAUCCAUGAGCAUGGUAUGUUUUUCCAUUUAUGUAGAUCUCUUUUGGUUUAUUGCAGUAGUGUUUUGUAGUUUUCUUUCUAUGGGUCUUUUAUAUCCCUGGUUAGAUUUAUUCCCAAUUAUUUUAUUUUUUCAGGGGCUAUUAUAAAUGGAAUUCUUUUCCUGAUUUCCUUGUCAUCAUUUUCUUCAUUGGUGAAUAGGAAUCCAACUGAUUUUUGUACCUUUAUCCUGUAUCCUGCAACUCCAAUGAAUCUAUUAGUUCCAGUAGUUUUCUCAUGGAGUCUUUUGGAUUUUCUUAGUAUCAUAUUCCUCUAGCUAAGACUUCCGACACAAUGUUAAAUAGGAGUGGUGAUAAAGGGCAUCCUUUUCUUGUUCCUCUUCUCAAGGGGAAUGUUUUCAGCCUCUCUCCAUUGAGAAUGAUCUUGGCCAUUUGUAUAGAUGCCCUUUAAUUUUAUUUUUAAUUGCAUAUGUGGAUUCAUUCAGUCAUUCAGACAGUUGUUGAUUAUUUAUUGCAGGUCCGUUCUCAAUGGCACCCAACAACACCACAAGAAUAAAACAAGAACACCAUCUCAUGAAGCUUACAUUGUAGUUGGGAAUGCAAAAAUAAACAAAUAAUAAAGAACUGCCAAUUCUUGAUAAGUGCUAUGAAGAAAUUAAGUGCAAUAAAGAGCUAGUGAGGGUAUCUGUAUGUAAGUAUGUUCUCUUUUAGGUAGUGUGUUCAGGUAAAACCUCUCUUGCGAGGGAGACGUUUAUACUUAGCCUAAGAGAAUGAGAAAAAGCCAUCUUUGGGAGGAUCUAAGAGAAGACUACUCUAGGCAGAAGGGACAGAAAAUGCUAAACCCUGAGCAGGAGUGUAAUUAAUGAGUUGGAGGAACAACAAGGAGACCUGUGGGCUGGAAUGAAGUUACUGGUGUCCUUUCAGGCCCUACUGAGUACUGUGGCAUUUACUGAUUGAGAUAGGAAGCCAUUAGACGGUUUAACUUAUGUCUUAGACCCUGGGGAGGGGGGAAGGAGGAGAACAGAGAGACAAGUUAGGAAAUUAUUGUAACUGGUGAGAGGUGAUUGAUCUGGGUCAGGCAAAAAUAUUUAUUGAGUGCUUCUUAUGUGCUCCGUAUGAUGCUACCUCCCUAGUCAGUGGUGGUCCAGAUUUCUCCCUUGCCCUGGCAGGGAACAUAGUUUGCAGACCCUGUUGUUACAUAGGCAAACACACACGAGAGGGGGAAGGAAGCUUGGGUAUGUAAGGCAGCCCUAGCAUAAAGUUUUGGGCAUGGCAAAGUACUUGAUUAUGUGUGCGUAUAGCCACAUACCUAGCUGUGUAAGUCAUUGCAAAUGUCAUCUGGCUAAUGUCCAUUAAUGAUUAGCUAAUUAGAAGGCUGCCAUUCCUGUCCUCAGUCUGACAGCUGGUUUAUUUUACUGAAGGCAAUGUCUUUGACUUCCUUAUCACAUCGAAAGGUUUUUUUUUUUCUAAGUAAUAGCUUUGAAAACAAAGGAGAUUAAACAAACUGUUAAAUAAGAGAACUAAGUCUAGUACCUGGCACCUAGUAAAUGCGUAAUAAAUGUUAGUUGAAAUUAGAGUCACUGCCUUGGUAGAUUAAAAAACCCACAAAUUUAAUAUAUUAAGAGCCCCUAAAGAGAGUACCAAUAAGCAGUUAAACAAGUACUGUAUUAGAUUGAAACCAGAAGUAGCAACUCCUGUAUGUUUUCAUAAUUUGUUAAUUACUAGAACGUUAUUUGCAACCCUCUCCAGCCUUAAGAGCUGUAUGAUCAGAGGCGUUUUAUUAAAUCUCUUUAAGACUUGGUUUACUUAUCUGUAAAAAUGGAGAUGAUGGCACAGUUUUCAGACUGGAGUGAGUAUGUAGGGCCACUUGUCAAGUGUGUGGUCAUAUACCCCACAGUUCCCAUGAUCAUGACUCUCCUUCUACAUACGAGGAAACAGAGACCCUGAGAAGUGCCUGGGGCUUGCUCAGGAACACACAGUGCCAUUCAGACUUCCAUACAGGCCCACCUGUCACCUGCUCUAAGGCAGGGGUAAUGGGGUGCUGCCGGGCCAUCACGAGAGGCAGCACAGCAUUGUGGGUAAGAGCACAGCCUCUGAACCCGGACUACUUGGGUCCAAAUUCUGCCUCUGUUGAUUCCUAGCUGUGUGUCCUUGGGCAGGUUACUUCAUCUCUCUCUGCCUCAAUAUCCAUGCCACUAAAAUGAGGCUAAUAAAGCUGCCUAUCUCAUAGAACUUUUGGAACAGUGACUGCCAUAGAUGGCAACAUCUAAGUUAAAGCUACUAGUAAUUGCUUUGGCUGUGAAGUGUAGUUGAGCUUUGCUGAGAACUUGCCUUUUUAGCAACAUCUAACCCAAGUGUGUAGCCUCACUUUUGUCUGCACGGGGUACGCAUCUUUCCCCUGAAGCUCAAUCACUGUCUCCCCUCUCCUCGCUCUGCACCCUCUGCCCCUCCCCCCACCAGUUCUGGUCUGCCAUCUGCUGACCCGUCUGAGACUCCUGUCAGGUCAAAGAUAGCAAGGCCUUUGUGGGGUGCCCAGGCAUCGAGUCAUGUCCCAGCGCUGUUGUACAUCUUGUUUCAGAGAUAUUUUGCCGUAAUGUUCUGUGACCUUUUCCAUUGAGUGAGGUAGUUGGAGAGGCACUCAGUAAGGGAAAAUUGAGCUGUUUUAUUCCUCCCCAAGGAGGCUCCUGUUUCCUUUCCACCGUUCAUUUGAAAGCUAUCAUUUUCUUGAUUUUAUAGCUGAAAAACAGCAUUGAUUCACUGGGUGUUAGAUGCUAAGAGUUCUCCUAUUGACAUGCCUAUUGACAGUUUUCAGUAUAUUCUGCGUCUAAUUAUCACUCUUGGCUAAAUGAUACACCUUGCGGACUUGAGCGAUGGAGUCGAUAGCUCUCACCGCAUUGUUCUAGCAGCGCCUAUUGAGCCCGGUGUCACGGUGAUGUGAUUUAUGUGAUCAGAAAGAAAAUUUCUGUUGGUGUGCUGCAUAAUUAAAGCAAGUGCGGAGUGACUGGUGACAAAAAAUCAGGCCUGCCGAUGUCAUCCCCAAAUGAGGAGAGAUUUCUGUGGUAAGCAGCUGCGACAUUGAAGAAUCUCUCUUGGCAUCUUUUGCUUUGCAAUUUUUGAGGGUUCAAUUUUCCUUCCAGGCCUGGCUGAGGAUUCCUGCUUCUCUGUGCCUUCCUGUUUCCUCGUGUUCAAAGCCCCAGUUUGUGCUGUUGUUCCCAAGGACUGGGGCUGUGCCUGCUUGCUCAGGGAGGGGUUUACUGUUGGGGUGUGUGGGGUGGCAGUUCACAGAUUUCAGGCUGCUGGAAGCCCACAUUUGCAACUAAGGAGGAAGGACGACUUAAAAAAAGCUCGCCCUUUUUAUCAGCUGGUUUGAGUGUCUUAGAUUAAGACUAAAGGUUGGGGGUGCCAUUUUCUCUGCAAAUAAGAGGAGCUGCCCCUGUGCCUGAAUAAUGUUUUCUGAAAGGAAUGAGUGGUGAUUCUUGCCCACCCCAGACAGGAAUGAUGAGAAAGUAGGGGAAGCUGAGAGGAGGCAGAAGGCUGGGCCUGUAGUAGGAAAGAACCCAGGUGAAACAACCUGCCUUCCACCAUGACUACUCUUUGACCUGCUGUAUUCAAAAAUGCUUUUCCGUGAAUCCCAGUAGUUGAGAAACCUGCCUUCCCCACUACUGGUUCAGUAACUGAUUUUCUGUUUGAUCAAAGGUCAAGUUAUUUAAUCUCGGUGGGCCUCAGUUUUCUCAUCUGUAAAUUAAACUAGAGGCCCCUUUUAAUGCUAAAAUACCAUGACUUAGUGCAGUAGGGACUUGGAGUGAAGGUUGGAUGGAGAAUGCCUAGCUGUUCAUCUGAAGGGUCUCCCUGAAGGAAUUCACUAGCAAGGCUACCUUUGGCAGGAGAGAAGUGCUUUAUGUAUGCUGUUUAGCUACGAUGCGUAGCUACCCACUUCAUACAGCACUAAAGGAACCUUGAUGAUGAAAGUACAGGGUGAGGUAUUUAAUGAUGAGUUCAAACAGAACAUCUGUAUCAAGCAGUAGGAGUAGGUGUUUCCAGGUACCUGAGUUGGACAAUGAAUUUGGCAUGGUGGCUACUAAAAGUCAUUAGUAGAAUUGAAUUUGGGUAGUGGUGGGUGGUUGGGCCGAGUAAAGGGCUAGGAUUCUGAGGUCUGGGGCCACCAAAAUUGUGAUGAAAGUAACUUUUGAGGUCAGUGACUUCAGACAGGUUACUUUCCUGGAAGCUAGAGGCCUUGGGUAGCCUCUAUUGCCACUAAUUAGUACUUAAUGAACCUCUGUGUAUGGUACUUCAGCCUUUUAGAAACAGAGUGAGAAAGAGAAAGUCAAGGGCACAGGUGACCUGACAUAGAAUGCUCACCCAUGAACAAGACCGGAGACAUUUUGUAAUUUGGGUCCCUGUUUUCAUAACUGAAAGUUUUAAGACUAUUCAGUUAUCUGAUCUUUGAAGCCUCAGUUCUAUUUUACGAUUAGGUGUGAUAGUACUUUCUCCUGAACGUGAAGUAAACUUUAAGGUGGUUCCUGAAAACUCAAGGAAACCUCAUCUGCUUUUGCUUUGUAUUCAAAAGUAAUGUGAAAAGACAUUACUGAAGGCAAUGUGUUUGAGUUCCUUAUUAUAUCGAAAGGUUUUUUUUUUUUUAAGUAAUAGCUUUGAAAACAAAGAAGAUUAAACAAACUAGUAAAUAAGAGAACUAGAAACCCUGGUGGCGUAGUGGUAAGUGCUAUGGCUGCUAACCAAAGGGUUGGCAGUUCGAAUCCGCCAGGCGCUCCUUGGAAACUCUGUGGGGCAGUUCUGCUCUGUCCUGUAGGGUCGCUAUGAGUCAGAAUCAACUCGACGGCACUGGGUUUCUGGGUUAGGUCUAGUACCUGGCACCUAGUAAAUGCUUAAUAAAUGUUGGUUGAAAUUAGAGUUGUAUUCAUUGUUCAUGUUUUUUUAGAUCUGGACCAGCUCUUCAAACUGUUGAUGGUCCUGGGAAUGGGGAAAUAUAGGAAGGACCUUUGAACAUUUCAAUAAGAAUAUGGAUUGUUUUUCCAUUUUGUCUGUGAUAAUUACAAAUCUCCAUGAAGAGUCCUCAGUAUGUUAAUGUAUUGUUAAUGCAACAUAGCAGCACCAGGAGAUUCUGGGUGACAGAUCAGGGUAAAGUCGGUCACCUGCCUGUUGAGAGUCCUUUUCCUUCUUGACCUGCCAAGUAGUUCAACUUAGAAGCCUGUGAGUAACCUUUAUAGAUUGCAGGGUAUAAUUUUCACUGCAAUUAUGGGACAGGCUUGUUCUCCUGUGCUCUAGGGCUCCCACAUCUUUACCACAGUUGAUUCAUUUUAAACGGUAGAAAUUAGAGGAGAAAACGCACCUCAGGAUUCUUUGACCCUACGCUUCCUCCUGUUCUAUGUCCCCACCACUUCCACCAGGUGCCCUUGAGCCGACUCCGGCACACAGUGGCCCCGUGUGUAUCAGAGUAGAACUGUGAUCCUUAGGGGUUUUAGUGACCGAUUUUUUGGGAAGUAGAUCACCAAGACUUUCUUCCAGGAUGUCUCUGGGCAGACUCAAACCUCCAACCUUUUGGUUAGCAGCCGAGUGCAUUACCAUUUGCACCCAGGGACUCUAUUCUGUGCCUCAGGCUUUUAAAAUGCCUCUCCUUUCUGCCUGUCCCUCUCAGAGGACAGCUUCUUUCUGGCAGAGGCAUCCCUUGGUGGAAUUUAGGGCAGUAGAAGAAUUGCACUGGGUAGGAUGACAUAUAAUUUGAUUCUUCCCAAAUGUUUCUGGUCUCUACCUGUUUGAGCUCUGUUUGGGUAUGAGUGUGUAGGCUAUGUUCUCACCUCUCAAUUCAUUGUGACUUUAGCUGGAGGUCUGGCCUCUGGCUGUCAUUGCUCUAGAUCCUGGUAAGGAGAGGGAGCAUGUGAGUUGGAGCUAGCAGGAAGCAUAUGUCUGGGGUUCGUGUGUGCAGAGGGCUGCGGUGCAGGCGAGGGAAGCAGCAUUUGCCCUCUGGGAUUGUCAAGAAAAGUAGAGCCCUUCUGCAGAGACUUAAAGGCACAGUGACUCAGACAGGGCCUGGGCAGCCUGAGGACCACCUGGUGAGUGAUGGGGCAGAAUGGCCUACACAGUCCAGCCAUUAGCAGAGGGUCCAGAAUUUAAUGCUUCCCGCAAACAGUCUAGCUCCUUAAAAUGGCAAGUUAUUACUUUUGUUCUUUUUCUGUCUUUGGGAUUGUUUAUGCAUCUCAAAAGCUGUAAAGGGAAUUUUGCACGUUCGGCAAAGUUUUACUUUAAAGGAGGCAGGUUAGAGAAAGGAGUGCCGUCACAUUAAAUGCCAGCUAUUGUGGUUUUCAUUCAGCUUGACGAACAGUGGCCUAAAAUGGCAGGGGAUUAAAUUGAUGUAAUGGCAAGAAUUCAUAUAGGAGGCUAUGGGAAUGGAGCAGAAUAAUACUAAGGCUUCACGGUAUUAGGGUGUUCUUUGCUUUGCCUUAGGUGGAAAACAUAAUAUACCUGUAUUUUUGUUGAUUCUAAACAGGGAAUGUGUAAACGGAGGCAUGUCAUUUUUCCUACAACCUUCAAGUUGAAAUUAAAUAGCUAUCCAUUUCUGAGCAAUGGACAUAUUUUAGAGUAAUGAGUUAAGUGCAGUUUUUGAAGAUUUGGAUCUUGUACGUCACAAUAAGAACAUUUUGUUGCUCAGUUGGGUUCCGGGUAUAAAGGCACGCAGUACUUGGUCAUUUGUGAAUUUAUUCAUUUGUUAAAGGGCAUUCUUAUUUUUAGAAAGAUUCACCUUUGUCUUGGUGAAUUUAAGCAGUAACAACUGCAACGAUGAGUAGAAUAAACAUUUCCUUUUUGAGCUUCAGCCUUUGAUGGAGGAGAGCUGCAGAUGAGAUGCUCCUGCCUUCUGAAGAAAUACAUAUGUGCCUUUCAUCUGGGCCACCUCUUUCUGGGGCAGUACCAGCUGGAAGGUGUCAGCUGGGAUGACCAAACACUUGAUCAAUUGACAAGGGGUGCGUCAAAGGUGGUUGAGAGCCAUUUAUAUGCAGUGUGUUUGAAAGCACUUUGAAAAGUAUAAUGUACUUAGUGUGUAUUUGUAUAGUAUGAAAGCAUAUUUUUAUUAGGCACGUUUUAACAUAUGGCUCAAAAAAAAGGUGUUGUACUGUGUCGAAACUUUAUUUUUUUCUGUACAGUGCUAGAAAGUCAUCUUUAUGCAAUUCUUUGAGUAACGAUGUUCACACAUUUUAAGGUUUCAUGAGAAACUGCCCUAAUUUCUUAAAACCCUGCUUUUCUCACCUCAGUACUUAACUGUAGGAAAAUGUAAAUUCCCUUCCCUGGUUCAAGGCUUUCUACAGUUUUGACCAGCUCUACUCUGCCACAAAUCUCCUGUGCUGAAUGUUCCUCGUACUGUUUGUUGCUAUUCCCAGUCUCAAUUUCUUUUUAAUGCUGUUCCUUCUAUAUGAGGGGGCUCCUUCCCCUGAUCUCUGCCCACCAGAUAUGACCCAUCCUCUAAGGUACUGCUUGUUCCGGCUCCCCCUUAAACCCUUCCCUCACCCUACACAUAGGGUCAUUUACAUAUAGAGACACUUUGUAGGGUCACCUACCAAAGAAUGGAGGUUUUCUGUCAGUAGCACUCAGUGAUAAUCGUACAUUCUUGUAUAGUUUCCUUAUCUUCCCUGCUGGAUUCUCAGCCUUAAUGGUGUACUGGGUAAUAACAAUAAUGAAAAUGCUAGUAAUAAAAACAAACAUUUAUCCAGCCAGCUCUAACUGAUUGCCUGUUGUGAGCUAGAUGGUGGGGAUGAAGUGAUAAUCAAAAACCAGACACGCGAGGCGGAGCCAAGAUGGCAGAAUAGACAGACACUUCCGGCGAGCCCUCUUUACAACAAAGACCAGAAAAAACAGGUGAAAUGAGUAUAUUUGUGACAAGCUGGGAGCCCUGAGCUUUAAAGGCAAGCUUAGAAAACGAACUGAGGGGCAGGGGGAGGAAGAGAACGUUCAGAAGUGGAGAGGAAUUACUGGACCUGAAUUGCAAGGAGCCCUCAGAUAUCAUUCCCGGAGUGGGGGCGAUGGCAGUGGCAGGCUGGUACUAGCAUUCGGCCGCAGUUUCCUCAGGGAGAAGCAGCCAGCCACACAGCCUACUCAUACCUCAGGAACCUGAGGAGAACUGUGCUCUCGGCAAAAGCUAAGUACUUGUGUAUAUUUUACCAUGGCCCUCCACCCCCAAGCCAACUUUAGCGGUUGAAUUCCCUGGGCCUGAGGAAGGUCCUGUAGAGCACCUGGAGUCAUCCUCCCAGCCUUGGGGAAGGAGAAAAUUUGCAAUUGGGGGAAAAGAUAAUUUGCUAGCUCCACUAACUGGGGGAGCUCAGGACAGAAUCGGCUCCUGUCCAGGCAUAAACCAUCCGUGGACUUUAAGCACCUUUCCCUUCUUCAUGGACCUGCAUGGGCCUAUAUCGGGAGAAUAGGCCCUUGUUGGCAGACUCCAACCAGUUCAGCUGUGUGGUGGAGAGGUGGGUAUUUGAUGUUUGACACUGCUUUGCCUUUUAAACAAUGUCCUCACCUACCCACAUCAGGGACCUAAGCCACCUAUGACAGGGGUCCAAACAUAACUGGUACCUCCCAGUCCUUACAACCAAAAACUUUGGGUGCCCAUGGUCCGUCUGCAGAACCCACCCCCCUGUAUGCUCUAAGAAACAGGGACGCGCUUUCCUCAGAUACACUUGGGGAUCAAUUCUCAGCCCCCUGCCUUGUUCAGAGUGUGAUCCCCUGCUGCAACCAGAUACUGGUAUAUACACCAAUCACCCCUGCCCUCUAAGACUGUAUGACAGAGCCUGUACCACAAACUUGAUGUCAGCUACCUGGAAACCUGAGCUGCAUUCAUACAAGAAAACUGAAAGGACUCCUAGACUGACAUAACAGCUGAUAACAGCUCUAGCCAUCUGGGGACAGGAUGUGAGAGCUCCAAAGGCAAAAAUAAUCAAGCUAGCUCACUCAAGCAACCCAUAGGGGUAUACCAAAACAAAACAAAGCAAGCAGCAACGACACAGUAAGCAAGCAUAAACUAAUACAAUAACGUAUAGAUGGCUUGGAGACCACAGUCAAUAUCAAGUCACAUAAAUAAACAGACGAUGAUCACCUCAACAGGCUCUCAAAACAAAGAAUCCAGGAAUCUUCUAGAUGAAAGUGCAUUCCUGGAAUUACCAGAUGCAGAAUACAAAAGUUUAAUAUACAGAGCCCUUCAAGACAUCCAAAAAAAAAAAAAAAUUUUUUUUUUUUUUUCAAGACAUCAGGAAGGAAAUGAAGCAAUACGCAGAACAAGCCAAGGAACACACAGAUAAAGCAAUUGAAGAAAUUAGUAAGAUUAUUCAGGAACAUAAUGAAAAGUUCAAUAAGCUAGAAAAAUCCAUAGACCGACAGCAAUGAGAAAUUCAUAAGAUUAACAAUAAAAUUACAGAAUUAGACAACUCAGUAGAAAGUCAGAGGAGCAGAAUUAAGCAAGUAGAAGUGAGAAUUUUUGAACUUGAAGAUAAAUCAGUUGGCACCAAUAUAUUUGAAGAAAAAUCAGAUAAAAGAAUUUUAAAAAAUGAAGAAGACUUAAGAAUCAUGUGGAACUGUAUCAAGAGAAAUAACCUACGAGUGAUUGGAGUACCAGAACAGGGAGGAAUAACAGAAAACACAGACGGAAUUGUUGAAGACUUGUUGGCAGAAAACUUCCCUAAUAUCAUGAAAGAUGAGAAGAUAUCUAUCCAAGAUGCUCAUCAAACUCCACAUAAGGUAGAUCCUAAAAGAAAGUCACGAAGACAUAUUAUGAUCAAACUUGCCAAAACCAAAGAUAAAAAGAAUUAUAAGAGCAGUGAGGGAUAAACGGAACGCAGAGCCAAGAAGAAUAAGCUCGGACUACUCGACAGAAACCAUGCAGGCAAGAAGGCAAUGGGAUGACGUAUUUAAAAAAUUGAAGGAAAAAAAUUGCCUGCCAUGAAUCAUAUAUCCAACAAAACUGUCUCUUAAAUAGGAAAGUGAAAUUAAGACAUGUCCAGAUAAACACAAGUUUAGGGAAUUCGAAAAAAGAAACCAAAACUAUAAGAAAUACUAAAAGGAGUUCUUUGGUUAGAAAAUCAAUAAUAUUAGGUAUCAACCCAAGACUAGAACACUGGGCAGAGCAACCAGAAGUCAACCCAGACAGGGAAAUCCAAAAAAAAAAAAAAACCAAGAUUAUUAAAAAAAAGC
Loxodonta africana (African savanna elephant) is the source of this 73682-nucleotide RNA transcript. It is a transcript of the gene named leucine-rich melanocyte differentiation-associated protein-like, with no coding region annotated. The record is from RefSeq and is a predicted model, not a curated record. The transcript has 5 exons. Lineage: Eukaryota; Metazoa; Chordata; Mammalia; Proboscidea; Elephantidae.